UAGGGGAUUUUUUUUUUUUUGUUUUUCACAUUUAAGCAGUUGAAUAAAGAAACACUAGCAGUACUUUACGAGAAAGAGAAAAAGAAAAAGCCCUACACCGGAUGGAUGUUGCUUGAGCCUUGAAGUAGAUCGAUAGAGAUGCCACAAGCUUUUCCUAAUUUUUUACCCACUAACCCAUAAUUGGCUUGUUAGAAUAUACUAAUACUAGCAUAUUAGGCGUCGCAAUCAUGUACAAGUAUUUUUCAAUUUCCUGGAUGCUUCGUUGGAAGAGGUCAGAAACUAUCCAAAGUUUUAGUUUUAUUUAUUUAAUAUUAUGCUUGAAAGUCUUCCCGAAAAAAAUAUGGUUGAAAGAGAUACAAGGAAAACCAUAGAUCCAAGAGAACAGACCAGCAUCAUCAGGUUGGGUGUGGUAGUCUAAAGUAAAUAAUAAGAAAAAAAUGAAGGCACUUUAUCGGAGCUAGUGGAAGACUGGAAAGGUCGGUUUCAAGGAUGAGGGCAAAAAUUUAUUCAUGAUCAUAUUCAAAGUUACAGAUGAUUCGGAUACUGGUAAAUGGGAUUGGAUGCAGCGCCGACCAGUAGGGAGGGUCUCAACGUCGUGAUGGUCUCAGACUUGGCCUCCAAAUGAGGAAAUAUACAAUCGGCGGUAAGUCAUGAAGAUGAGUUGGCUGGGCAUUUACAAUUUUUCAAAUAAAAGCGUGUGGGGCCGAGUGAUGAACAGGAUAUGUUGCUGAAUAAGGUCAACGCGCCUGUUGGAAACUUUGUUACCUAAAGCUUAAUGUAAAAUUUAUCCCUUAUUAUUUAUAUUUUUUUGUCACAUUAGUUUUUUUUAAAUUAAAUUUAGCAUUCAAUCUUAAAAAAAAUAUCAAAUUUAAUCAUUGAUCAAUUGAAAAAUAGUUUAAUUGAUUUUUUUAAUGAAAAUAUAAACUAAAAUACUUUUAAACAUGGCAACUCACGUAACAAUUCACAUGGCAACUACCGUAACAAUUCACAUGGUAACUCACAUAACAAUUUAAUUUUUUUUUUAAAAUUACCUUUUUUAUAAUUUUUAUAAUUUAUUUUUGAAAUCUUUUUAUAAUUUUUAAAUCAUUUAUUAGCAUGGCAUACAAAACAAAUAAUAUAAUGUUAAUAUAAAGUGCAUAUAAACUGUCGUAUGAGAUGUCACACUAACAUCAUUAAAAUUUUAAUAUUUUAGUAAGCAUUUCUAUUAAAAAACAGUUUAACUCUUUUAAAAAAUUAAUAAUCAAAUUUAAUUUAAAAAAAAUAAUAGUAAAUUUAAAAAAAAUGUAAAUAUUAAUAACUAAAUUUAUCAUGUGAAUCCUAAACCCUUUCUUUUCUUUGUCAAAUAAUUGAGAGUCCAAAUUUUUUUUUUUUUAAUUUGGAUAAUGUUAUAAACAAUUGAUCACCAUACAUCUCCCUCUCUGACCUUUUUUCUUGACCCUUAGUCUCUCAUCAUCAUCACUAAUUUGACACAAUCCUUAGCCAUUCAACACUCUCUAGCAUCACUAUUUGCAACACAAUAUCACCUUCGUCAUCAACAGUAUCAUCUUCAUUAUUACUGCCUCCACCUCUCUUACCAUUGAACCUAGAAGCACCAACUACUUCAACCACCACACUAAAAAACCGAAACCCAAACCAUAAACAAUCAUUCAUACCAAAAAUUCAACAUAAGAAAAAUUCAACCAAUAAAUAAAACCAACAAAAUAAUAAAAAGAAUUGAUCCUAUUGUUUCGAAGAAUCUAAACCAAACCUACAAGCAGAGAAGAGAAAACAUUAAAAAAAAGAAGGGAAAUAAAUUGAAAAAAAAAAGGAGACUUAUCUCUGUACGAGUUUAGGUUUGGAGCACCAAGAUUCCAUUCAACAACUUGAACAACGAUGAGGUGUAUUCAGCCAAGGAGAGCCACAUAUCUCAUACGCAAGGCGAUUGAACGACGAAAAUGGUAGAUCAAGAUAAGAGAAUUUCAAAGGUGACUUGGUAUUUUCAAGGUUUUUAGGUGGGUUUCGAGAAUAUUUGAACCGUUAGUUUGAAAGAGAAAGGAAAGGAAAGGUGGACUGCUUAGUGGCGUUGCCGGAGCACGACUGUUAAGGAAGAGUAGCGCAAGGAAAAAGAUGAGGUAAAGGAUAGGAUAGAAGGAAAAAAAGAACAAGGGAAAAAAGAAUAAAGAAAGGGGAAAAUGAAUAGACAAUUAACUUAACCGUGGAAGAGAUAGAUUUAAUGGUAGAGUGAUAGUUUGGUCAAUUUUUUUAACGGUAGUAAUCAAAUUAACAAUAAAAAAUUAGGAUGAGCUAAAUAGGAUUAACCUCUAUUUAGAAUGAUUACAAGAUACUUUACCCAAAAUUUUAUAGAUUCUUCCCGUGUUGUAAUCAAAAAGUUUUCUUAAAUGUGAAGUAGGAUCCUAAAAUCAGUAUACUAUUUAUUUCUCUAAACUUUAUUAGAACCAAUCUCUAGGGUGGAGAUAUUUUUAAGGAUGCUUUUAAUAGAGUUUUAAGGUAUGUUUGGUUGAGUGAAAAAGAAGAAAGAUGAAAGGGAAAUGGAAAUGAAAAAAUGAAUAUAUAUAUUUAGUACACUAUCUGAUAAAGAAGAGUGAAAGAAAAAAAAGAUCAUUUUAAAUUAGAAAGAUAAAAAUAGAAAAAAUGAGUGAUAAUGUAUAUUAAUUCAAAAUUAUGUAAUUUUCAAAAAUAUUAUUUUCUUUCUUUUCAUUUUUUUUUAACUCUACCCAGCAAUAAAUGAAAAAAAAAUUUACUUUUAUCUUUUUCCUCUCAAGCACAAGUACAGAAAAAAAAAUUUAUAUUUUCUAUUCUUCUAUUUUUCUAUUCUUUCAAUUUUCUUUCCAUUCUACCAAUUAGAAUCUGAGUAUUUUUUUUUAUUUUGUCAAAGUUGUUUCCUAAUGCAGGUUACGAUUUUAACUUUCAAUUUUUAGGUUAAACAUUUUCCCAACUCUCUCACCCUAACACCCAAAGUUUCCCUUUAAACUAUUUAAAUUUUUGUCAAAAUUGAAUAAAUAUUUUAAAAUAUUAAAAUAGAUUUACUUAGACUAUUAUACCUAUGUUUAUUUUGGGUUCUAACUAUUAAAAAUAGAUUCACCCUUAGUUUCCCUUAAACUUCAGCAUAUGGCUCAUUGGUCAAAGGUGUUCAAUCUAUAAUUUCUAACUAUGUCAUAAAAUUCGGAUUUGGACUAAAUUAAUUAAGUGAGAUUAGUAUAUAAUUUAAAAUAGAAUAAUCACAAGUCAAGUAGGGAUUGAGAAGGUCGAAUAAUUAAGUGUUAUUGAAUUAAACUGGUUAAUAAAAAUAGUACAUGGGCUAAAUUGCUUAGUGAACAAAGUAUGAAGGGAUUAAAUUUUAAUUUGGUCAAUGCUUUAAACGGAAAUUAAACUAAGGUUAAAAUAAUAGUUAAACCAUUCUAAAUGGUAUGUUAAAGCUUAACUAAUGUUCGUGUCAUCACUUUCCACUAACUAACCUUAUACUUAAUAAACUAUUAGAUUAAGUGAAUAAUUAAAUUAAUUGUUAUGCUAAUUGUCAGUAUAAAUAUACAAGCUAAGCGCCCCGGGGGGGGAGAGAGAAACACAUAUUCAUUCUUUCUUUGCUUCUCCAUAAUCGAUUGUGAAAUAAGGUUUUAGCAACACUUCAAUUUCUUCAUUUGGCUAUCAAAUUGACAAGGUAGGUGGGCUUAUUUCUUCUUAAAUUUCAUAGAUUUCUUUAUUAUAAGAUGUGUUCUAGUUAACACUCCUUAAAGUUUGGUAUUAUGAAAAUUAAUCUAAGUUAUCUUUGUAGAGAAGGUUAUGGAAUCAUGAAAAGCUAGUUCUUAAUUUUGUUGCAAGUGGGAAAAAGCUUAGUAAGAUAAUGAGUUAGGUAAGAGUAAGUCUAAUUUUAGCUUAAAACUUUGAAAGUUAUUAUUGCUUUAUUAAGGACUAAAUUGUAAAGGAUAAAAAUUUUGAUGUUUGAAAAUAAAUAAUGGUAGUAGGUCCUUAUUCUAUAUUUAUUAAGUCAGAUUUAAAUUUGACCAGGUAAAUUGUGAGAAAUGGGUGUUUCAGAUGUUAAGGACUAAAUCAAAUAAAGUGCAUUCAUAUUUAGUUUUAUAUUUUUUUGUCCAAACCAUAUAUCUAAUGGAUUUUUCAUAUCCAAAUUUAUCUUACAUAGUUAAAGAAGACACCAAGACGUCGAAAAGCAAAAGGAAUGCAAAAGUCGUUGACGAAUAAAUAUUCUGGUUGGUGCUAUUAUAAUUCGAGUUUGUUAGGUAAAUAUAUGUAUAUGUUUGAUUCAUUAAAUGUUCGAAAAUGGUAAUCUAACAAUGUGAGAUAUUUGAAAGGUAUGUAUAUACUUGAGUAUGUGAUUUGUGAUUAUUUGGUUGGUUGUAUACAUGAAUAUAUGCUUAUCGAUGACAUAUGAUUAAUAGUAAUGAUAUUUAACCUAUUAACGUUGUCAGAUAGAGUCACGGGUAUAGUUAGCAUGCUAUAGGGUUCGUUUUGAUAGAUGGGAUAUUCAGUGCUAUGUGUGUGCAUAUCGUGAUAGUUCUAUAAUACCCUAGGGGUCGAGAACAUAUCACCAGCUCAAAUACCUUGAGGGUAUGAGCAUAUUUUGGUGUAGUGGGUGGAAUCGGUGAACUUGUGCCUAAUUAGCACUUUGGUCCGUAUUUGGUGUGAUGGUGGAUUGAUCCAAGUAUCUAUUAUUAUAUUUGAUUUUGUUAAUAGGGAUCAUAAUGUAAAAAUGAUGCAUUAAAUAUGUAUUGAAUUGAUAUGAUAUAUUGAUGUUAACUUGAUAUAUGAAUUUGACAUGUUAAACUAGAUGCAAAUUGUAACACCCCUUGCCCGACCUAAUUGUAAGGUCCGAGUUUCAGGAUGCUACAGUCAUUGUUGGAGAAACUAUCAUCAAAUAUUCAACGAUUAAAUCAUUUAAACAUUCAAAUAUAUCACAAAACACAUUCACAUCAUGAUAUACAAUCCUUUUCGAUUCUCAAUCAUUUAAAUGAUGAAAGAUUAUCGAAUAAAUAAUGGGGUCGUGUGAGCCUUUCAUUGAUCCACUAGAUACAUUCUGUAAGUCAGCAAUCUACAAGAAAAAUGGAGGAAAACAAAGUAAGCAUAUUGAAUGCUUAGUAAGUCCAUAUGAAAUUUACUUAACUUACCUUGAUAUUACAACAAUUAAAACACAUUGGUCUAUAACAUGGCAUCCUUUGACAUCCUUAUCCUUUCAUAUGUAUUUCAACAACGCAACUAGUAUGUUAGUUUAUUCACUUGUCAAAAACAUAUAACACAAUUCAUAUGCAUAUACAACAAAUAUUUCUUAUAUCAUAUACUAACCAAAUCAUAUUCAAUUUGCAAGCAUAGAUAAUUCAAUUCAUGUUAAUUAAUUUUCACCAUUUCAUUUCCAUUAGGUUAUUGUUUUCGAGCCUGAGAGAACCUUAGUAAACCAAAUUCGGAUACACGGGACUAUAGUGCUCACACAAGCUGACAGUGAUCAAGGUUACUCACACAAGCUGACAUUAUGAAUUUGCUCACACAAGCUAACAUUGUAUCGAGGUUAUGAGUCCAGGCAAAACCAACGAUACAUAUUAAUUGAGAAUCUACAACAAAUGUUAGGUCUCAUAUAAUAAUGUAAAUCCCUAAUCAUUUCCAUAUUUGACCCUAGUGGCAUGACCUAUGUAAACUAAUCUUUUACUAAGUUCACAAUGGCAUUAUUUCUGUAAUCGUAUCAUUUCAAUUCCUAUAGAAAAAAUAAAUAUUUCGUGCCAAUCUUAUAAACAUUUCAUAACCAUUUCAGUACCUAGUACCUAUUCAUAAUUGUCAUAUAUUUUAUACUCUGCAAUUUAGUCCAUUUGAUGCCAAAAUCACUAGUAUCACAUUUAUAUAAAUUAAUAAGCAAAAUAACACAAUUCAAUCACAACAUAAAAACAACAUAAUAAAAGAACUUACCUGGAAAAAUCGCAAACAAACACUCUUUAAGGACUAAAAAACAAUUUUACCUUUUCCUCAAUUAUCUUUGAUUUGGUUCAAUUCUCGAUCUAUACAAUAAUUUAAUUCAAUUUAUUAAUUUCAAACAUCUUAUAUCAUCCUAUUAUAUGCAUGAAUCAAUUCAAUUUCAUUUUUGAAUGCCCCUAAAUAUUUAUAUUUUAUUCAAUUUAGUCCCUAAAAUUGAAUUUGUCAUAUAUUUUAAAUUUGAGCUUCAAUUUCAAAAUCGAUCUCAAUUAUAUCCUUUUAAGGCCAUAUAAUAUCAAUAAUUAUAAAAAUUUCACAUCAAAGUUGAAAUUUAUACACUUUAGUCCUUAUGUUCAAAAACUAGCAAUUAGACUUUACAAUCUAAUCCCUUUUCACUUCUAAGCCGAAAAUCUAACAAUUUAAUAUCAAUUUCUUCAAGAAUUCAUCAAUGGAAACUUUUAGAAACUUUAAAUAAAAUUUAAACUAGUACAUGGGCUAGCUAAAUCAAGCUUCCAUGACCUCAAAAACAUAAAAUUUACAAUGAAAUGACUAAAUCAAACAUACCAAAUUAAAGGUCGAAAGUUUGAGCUUCAAAACCUGAUUUUUCUAUUUUGUUUCAAAAGAGAAUAAAAUGAACAAAAUUGUUUUGUUUUCUUUUUAUUUUAUACUUAGAUUAAUAGUUAAUCUUGAUUAAUCUAAUUAAACAUCAAUUAAUUAACCUUAAACAAGAUUAGCAAAAUUGGUGGAUUACAAUUGUCAUCCACCAUCGUUUUUCAUAUUAAAAAGGUCCAAUUACUCAUUUGGUCUUUUGGUUAAUUAAAAAUCUUUGGCAAUAAGCUUUUACAAGUUUACAAUUUAGUCAUUAUACCUUAACUAACUAUCAAUUCGACAAAACUAAGAGACCGAACUUAAAAAAACUUUUAUAAAAACCUCAUAAAUAUUAAGUAUUAAUAUUUAUUGACUUGAAUAUCAAAAAUGGUGUUUUGAAAUCGUCGGUUCUAAUACCACUUAAAAAACAGGUUGUUACACAAAUACCUUAAAGGUACAUUGGGAAUUAUAUCGAGAAAUUGAGUAAAGUACUAUCGAAUAAGAAGAAACGAUAAAUAAACUAUUUGUAUAUAUGUAUCUCUGAUAUUAAUAUGAAAUGAUUAGUUAGUUAACUUGAAAUAUCAUAUUAUUAUGUUUAUUUUAUUUUGUUAUGCACUCAUUUGCAUUUGAAUUAUGUUAGCACGACUGAGUAGCCAUUACUCAGCGUUUAAAUUUGUUUGUUUUUGUGCACAGGUCUUAGAUAAAGUUGAAGAAAUUCUGCGAUCAAGCAUCCAACUUUGAAGCUUAGCUCGAAAGCCAUUACGAAGCUAUUUUGUAUGUAUUUAUAUAUUUUGAGGUCAUAUGGCAUGUACUUAGGUUAGUUGGUUUAUUACCUAAGUUAUUUUGGGCACUUUUGGUAAGUUUUAUAUAAUGGUAUAUUGGUUUAUUACCUUUCAAAGGAAAUAUUCAUCAACUGUGUAUGUAACACCCCUUAACCCUUAUCUGUCGCCGGAACAGGGUUACGGAGCAUUACCCGACAUUUCUGAUCAAUUACAAAUAUUAAACAUAAUACCUAGCAUACACAUCAUGUAAUAAUCAAUUUGUCCCUUUUAUGAGCCCUCAAGGCCCAAAAUAUGCAUUAGAAUUAAAUCCAGGCCCGUGUGACCCUAUGACAUGCCCAUGCUUCAGGCCAUGUCUUACCCAGUGUAACUCUCUGACUUAUGUCACACAGUCGAGCCACACGCCCGUGUGCUAGGCCGUGUGCCUCACGGCGCUGAGACGCACGCCCGUGUCUCUGCCCGUGUGGAAAUACCUGAGUAUUCUGUUUUGAAAUUUUGAAUUGCAGGGGACAUACGGCCUAACCACAUGCUCAUGUGUAAGCCGUGUGUCUUACAUGGUUUGGUCACACGCCCGUGUACCAGGCUGUGUGGACUCAAAAUAAGCCUUAUACAUCAAGUUUUCCAACCCUGCAAAUCUUGAAUACCAAACAAUUCAAAUACCAUUUAUUCAACCAACCUAAAACACAAUCAAAUACGUUUAAAACAUGUCAUAGUAAUGAACUUAAUGAUCUAAUCAUUAUACCCUAAUAGGUAUUCACAUAUAUUAUUCAAAACAAUCUAAAUAAACACCAUUUAACUAAUUCCAAUCUCAUACCAAAACAACCCUAAAAUUUACCUAUUCCAUGCUCAUUCACACUUUAGUUCAAACAAACCAUUUUAUAGUUUCAACAUAGCACUUAUGUCCAUGUAUUGAAGUAAUAAAAUCAUCUUAUAACAUCAUUUACAAACACUUUCCAAAAUAACCAACUUAAGACCACCUAGGUACAUGCCAUUACCAAAAAGAGAAAUAUACUUCACCCUAUUUGAGUACGGGAUUGUUGUGGAUGCCGAUUCGACGAUCUGACUUUGACCUAACCUACGCACGAAAAAACAAACUGUACACCGAGUAUGAACUCAGUGGUAUUUCUAUAAUUCGAAUACUUUAAAGUAAUAGCAUAGUAAAUCAUGCACAUUUUACCUUACAAGUACAUUAGUCAAACAAUAAAUCAGGUUAUACUCUAACUUCGUUUCUCAUCAUUAGCUAUUUCAAAUAGCUUUUCUCACUUUGUUCACAUAUCAUUUAACAAUAACCAUAUCCAUUUCAUGAACCCAUAGUUCAUGUAAAUUCACACAUUUCAAUUGUAUAAUUCAAUUCAUUGUCCAUUCCAAUUCAUAUUCAAUAUCAAUCAAUUUUCCAACACAUUUAUUUACCCCUAUUAACAUAACUCGGACUCAGACGGAUACACGGAUCCAACCAAAACACACCAGUUUGGCACCUAGUGCCCCAUCGGAUAAUUCAAAAUAGUAAAUUGACACCCAGUGUCUCAUAGGUUAUGCCAAAGUAAAGUGGUACCCAGUACCUCAUCGAAUUUAUCCGAAGAAUAAUUUGGCGCCCAGCGUCUCAUCGACUCGAGAUCCAAGUAUCCCUGAACUCUUCCAACCCUAUGGCAUGCCAACUAUAUCCGACUCAGCCUGAUACCAUUAAUAGGGUUCAAAUCACAUUUCAAAUGCCUCAAUUAUCAAUUAUUCACAAUUUUACAAUAAUCACAAUUUCUCAAACAUUCAAUUUAAUAUCAAAUGCUAAUUACUCACCUUAUACACUUACCACAAAUAUUAAUUAAAAUACAACAAUUAUUAAUUAGAUUCAGGUUAUAGAAAUACAAAUCGUAAUUUCCGAGUCACUCAUCGUCAACUUUCUCUUUUCCUUUCUUAACCGAGGUCUUCAGCACAACGUUAGCUACGGAAAUUAAAACAAUUUAAAAUCAUCAUUACAUACAAUUUCACAUUGAAUAUUUCAAUUUAUAUUCAACUUUUGCAUAAAUUCUAAUUUAGUCCCUAAAUUAAGACUAACUUUAUUUCUUCCAAAACUAUUUCAUAUUUCCAUGCAAUUCCCACUUUAAACUAAUUUCAACUUUCAAAUUUCACCAUAAACCCUAAUUUUAAAAUUCUCUAAAUUUAGUCCCUAUUAUUUCAAAGCUUAUAAUUUGUUUACAAUUCAAUCCCUUUUUCACUUUUAACUUGAAAUUCUAUCAAUUUAACCCUUAAUUCUUCAAUUUAUUCAACAUGAACUGCAUCUAAAAAUCUAAUAAUUUCUAAAAUUUCAACAUAGAUUAAGUAGUACUUAUCACUAGGAUUCCAAAAACUCAAAAUUUACAAGAAAAUGGAUUAAAUUGACUUACCAAUCAGGCUUUGAACCUUAAAGCCCUAAUUUUUCCUUUUCAUUUUCUUUCUCUUUUCUUUCUCCCUUUCUUCUCUGUUUCGUUUCAAUACUCUCUCUUUUUCUAUCUUUAUUUCUUUUUUUUUAUGUUUUAACUAUAAUAAUAUAAUAUAAUAAUAAAAUAAUAUUUACUUAAAUUAUAAGUAAAUAGGUAAUUAUUAUUAAUAUAUGUAUUUUAUUAAUCCACAUGUUACCACCAUCACUAUACACUUGUCAACUUUUGGUUUAAUUACUUAAUUAUUCCCUUAACUUUUCUCUAUUUUAUAAUUCAAUUUUUAUCCUAUAUACAAUUUAGUCCUUACAGCUAAUUAAUUUUAAUUCAAGCUAGUUCAUCUAGCUAAAAGCUAAUUAACCACACAACUAACUUGUAAAUAUUUUUAAUAAAUAUUUACGAAUCCAUUUUUCGGAAACAGUGACCCAAAAAUACACUUUCCGAUACCCGUAACUAUCGGGUCAUUACAAUUCUCCCACUUUAAUAAAUUUCGGCCUCGAAAUUUAUCUGAAAAGAGGUGGGGGUACUAAGAUCUCAUUGUUUCUUCCAGUUCCCAUGAUGCUUCCUCAAUACUAUGACUUCGUCACAAUACUUUCACUAAGGGAACUCGUUUAUUUCAUAACUCUUUUACCUUUUGAGCUAAUAUCUCAACUGUCUCUUCUUCAUAUGACAAAUCAGGUCUAAUUUCAAUAUCCUCAGUAGAAAUAACGUGAGAGGGGUCUGAUCUAUACCUUUUGAGCAUUGAUAUAUGAAAAACAUAAUGAAUUUUUUGUAAUUUCGGAGGUAAAGCCAAACGGUAUGCGACAAGUCCAGCCCUUUUUACAAUCUCAUAUGGCCUAAUAAAACGAGGACUCAAUUUUCCCUUUCGACCAAAUCUUAAAAUUAUCUUCCAAUGCAAAACUUUAAGAAAUACCUUAUCAUUGACAAAAUACUCAAUGUCCCGACGUUUUAAAUCUGCAUAUGACUUUUGUCUGUCAAAAGCAGUUUUCAAUCUUUCUUGGAUUUUCUUGACAGUGUCCUCUGUUUCUGGAAUUAACUCUGGCCCAAUCAUUUUUCUUUCAUUCAAUUCUGUCAAACACAUAGGUGAUCGACAUCUACGACCAUAUAAAGCCUCAUACAGUGCCAUUUGAAUACUUGAUUGGAAACUAUUAUUAUAAACAAAUUCAGCCAACAGUAAAUAACGUUCUUAGCCAGAUUCAAAAUCAAUGACGCAAGCAUGAAGCAUAUCUUCUAAAAUUUGAAUGACUCGUUCGGAUUGCCCAUCAGUCUAAAGUUAAGUCGAGUGCCAAGAGAUUCAUGCAGUUGUUUCCAAAACCUUGAUGUGAAUCGCGGAUCCUGAUCAUAAAUUAUCGAUACAGGAAUACAAUACAAUCUCACAAUUUUUCGAAUAUAAAUUUAAGCAAGUUUUUACAGUAAGCAAUCAGUUCUAACUGCUAUAAAAUGAGUUGACUUUGUGAGUCGAUCAAUAAUCACCCAAAUAGCGUUUUUCUUACUUGCAAACAAUGGUAGCCCCGUUACAAAGUCCAUUGUAAUACAAUCCCAUUUCCAUUCAGGAAUGUUAAUAGGCUAAAAUAAUCCAGUCGGAACCUGAUCUUCUGCCUUGACCCGUUGACAAGUUAAACAUUUGGACACAUAUUCAACCACAUCCUUUUUUAUGCCAGGCCACCAAUAAGAUUCCCGUAGAUUUCUGUACAUUUUUGUUCCUCCAGGAUGUAAUGCAAAAGGACUGUCAUGUGCUUCACGAAGUAUCUAUUCUUUUAAUUCUGAAACAUCUGGUAUACAAAUUCAAUUAUGAAACCUCAGGCAACCAUGUUCAUCAAUGCUGAAAUUCUUUAACAUUCCAUCCUGAACCAUUUCUUUCUUCUUCAUUAACUUGUCAUCUUUUGAUUGUGCUAGCUUGAUUCGAUCAAACAUUAUCAGUUUAAUUCUCAAUUUGGCCAGUAAGCUUCCAUCAUCAUUGAUACUGAAUUGUGCAAACAUCGUUCGUAAUUCAACUGUUGCCUUUCUGCUCAAUGCGUCAGCUACAACAUUAGCCUUACCUGGGUGAUAAUCAAUAACACUAUCAAAAUCCCUCAGAAGCUUUAUCCAACGACGCUGUCUCAAAUUUAACUCUUUUUGUGAUAGAAGAUACUUGAGACUCUUGUGAUCAGUAUAAAUAUAGUAUUUCUCACCAUACAAGUAAUGUCUCCAUAUUUUAGAGCAAAGAUUACAGUAGCUAGUUACAAAUCAUGUGUCAGAUAAUUACGUUCAUGCAGUUUCAAUUGUUAAGAAGCAUAAACUAUCACUUUUUCGUCUUGUAUUAAAACACACCCGAGACCAUUCAAAGAAGCAUCACUAUAAAUAAUAAAAUCUUUUCUCGACUUUAGAAAAGUCAAAACCGGUGUCUCAGUCAACAUUUGCUUCAAUUUCUCAAAACUUUCUUGGCAUUGAUCAUCCCAGACAAAUGGAACAUUUUUAUGUAGCAAUCUUGUCAUCGGCAAAGCUAUCUUUGAAAAUUCAUUCAAAAAUCUUCGAUAAUAUACGGCCAAUCCAAGAAAACUUUAAACCUCUGAUACAUUUCUUGGUGCUUUCCACUGGACAAUCGCCUCAAUCUUUUUCGGAUCAACUCUGAUUCCUUCUGCUGAAACUACAUGUCCCAAAAAUACAACUUUGGACAACCAAAACUCACAUUUACUUAGUUUCCCAUACAACCGCUUCUCCCGUAAUGUUUGCAAAACUAUUUUAAGACGCUGCUCAUGUUCAGAUUCAGAUUUCGUAUAGACCAAAAUGUCAUCAAUGAAAACUACUACGAACUGAUCCAAAUAUGGUUGAAGGAUACGGUUCACAAGAUCCAUAAAAGUAGCUGGAGAAUUUGUCAAUCCAAAUGGCAUUACUAAAAAUUCAUAAUGUCCAUACCUUGUACGGAAUGCUGUCUUCGGCAUAUCACUUUCUUUUACCUUCAACUGGUAAUACCCCGAUCUCAAAUCAAUCUUUGAAAACAUAGAAGCUUCUUUCAAUUGAUCAAAUAGAUCAUCAAUACGAGGUAGUCGGUAUUUAUUCUUGAUCGUCACCUUAUUUAGUUGUCGACAGUCAAUACACAACUGUAUUGAAUCAUUUUUCUUUUUUACAAACAAUACUGGAACUCCUCAAGGUAACGUACUAGGAUGUAUAAAACCACGAUCCAAUAAAUCCUGCAGUUGCACUUUUAAUUCUUUUAACUCUGUAGGUGACAUACGGUAUUGAGGUAUUGACACUGGAUCUGUACCAGGAUAAACUUCAAUUACAACUUCAACUUCUCGAUCAGAUGGUAAUCCCGAUAAUUCUUUAGGAAAAAUAUCAGGAAAUUCAAAAACAGUUCGAAUCUUACUGCAUUGGCUUUCAAUAGAAUCUGAAUUAAUAACAUAAGCUAAGAAAGCUUCACAACCCUGAUGAAGAAGUUUAUUAGCUUCAAUUACUGAAAUAAUACGAGUUGACUCACUGGUUCGAAUACCGUUUACUUCAACCUUAUCACCAUUCUCAUUCUAAACAGUAACUUUCUUUUUGCAACAAUCUGAAAUCACCCUAUUCUCUCAAAGCCAAUCCAUUCUCAGAAUUAUAUCAAAAUUGCCAAAUGGCAUAAUCAGUAAAUCGACAAGGAAAAUUUUAUUUUGUAUCAUCAAGAGACAUCUUCGACAUACUUGAUCCACUAGCACAGUUUGCCCCAAUGGACUAGACACAAUUAUUGAUACUCUAUACGUUUUAGAUUUUAAAUCUCUCGACUCAACCAACUUUGAAUUAACAUAUAAAUGUGAAGAUCCCGGAUCUAUUAAAACAUAAACAGUUUUCGAAUGCAAUAGAAAUAUACCUGUCACCACAUCAUUUGCAUCACCCCCUUUACGGGUCCGUACAACAUAUGUUCGAGCUGGUACUCUGACCUCUGAUCGCUGAGUGGCAACAUCACUUUCUCUUCUAGCAUCACCUCUGAUAACUGAACCAUUUCGACCUAAUCCAUUACCUCUAGAAGCAGAUAUAGAUCUCUGUGAUGUAACUGGUGUAGCAUUCUCAUUUUUCGGGCAAUCUCUAAUGAAAUGCUCUGUAGAUCCACAAUGGAAACAACCUCAUGUCAAUCUCCAACACUCUUUUCUAUGCUUUUUCCCAUAAUGUUCACAUUCUGGAAUUUCAGUAUCCCAAGAUAGACCUCGUACACUGUCAGUAAAAACUAUCGUCUAUCUUCUACGAUUUCUAUCACCUCUAUCUGAUUUAGAACUGAAUCUCCAACUACCACGUGAUUCUUUUGAUCUUUUGGAUAGUGGAUUUGAACUAGUGGCUCCGGGACGUUUUCCAAUCGGACAAAUAUUUUCAAGCUUUUUAGCAAGACCCAAAACUCGUUCAACCAUUUUUGCUCUUUCAACCAAAUCAACAAAUUUAGUGAUUCUGUGGGAUACUAGUUGCACUCGUAACUCAUCACGUAAGCCCUGUAAAAAUUGCUUGCAACUAUCAGCUUCUGUAGGCACAAAUUCAGCUGCAUAUCUACUGAGUCAUGAGAAUUCCCGUUCAUAAUCAACUACUGACGUAUCACCUUAUUUUAAUGUCAUAAACUCUUAUUUUCGGUCUUCAAUUUAUAGCUCACCUACAUAUUUCUUCUGAAACUCUCUCUGAAAGAAAUCUCAAUUUACCUGUUUGGCUGGUACAUGUCGGGUUAUUGAUUCCUACCAAACAUAUGCUUCCCCUUGAAGUAAAGAAACAACACACAAGAAACUUUUUCGAAGAGUACACUCAAGUUGCUACAGAAUUCUUUUUAUGGAUUCCAUCCAAUUUUCAGCUGUAGAGGGUUCGACUCCUUUCAACCCCAAAAAUUUAGUAGCACUAUACUUAUGUAAUUCUUUAAUUAGGCUCCAACGGGUGAUAGGAGUAGAUGUCGUAGCAGGUGCAGUCCCUGCUACUCGUUGAAGAGCUUCAACAAUAGCUCUAAGUAAUUAUGUAUCAUCUCUUUCUCUAACAUUACCUCUUUUGACAUUUGGUGGUUGAUUACCCACUGGAUUUACACUCGGUAUUGCUAAAUCUGUUUCAUCUAAUUCACGAGAUUCUUCAUCCCCAGUAUACAUUUCUUGAUCAAUAUCAUCAAUAUAUUCAUCCGACAUCUUUAACUAUAAAACAGAAAUAAAUAAAUAUAUCAGCAUCCAAAUCCUGACUCAAUUAUGACAUAUACCUCUAGACUCAAUUUUGAGCUUGAUUUAGUCUGAGAAUCAGCUAAACCUACAAAGCUCUGAUACCAUUAAAUGUAACAACCCCUAACUCAUUCCGUCGCUAGAACAGGGUUACAGAGCAUUACUCGACAUUUUAGAUCAAUUACAAAUAUUAAACGUAAUAUCUAGCAUACACAUCAUGUAAUAAUCAUUUUGUCCCUUUUAUGGGCCCUCGAUGUCCAAAAUAUGCAUUAAAAUUAAAUCGGGACUCAAUCGAAAGGUCAGAGAAUUUUUCAUGAAAUUUCAAAAUUUUUCCUAAGUACAGGACUCACACGCCCGUGUGGUCAAGGGACAUGCCCGUGUGACCCUAUAACAUGUCCGUACUUUAGGCCGUGUCUUACCCCGUGUAACUCUCUAACUUAUGUCACACGACCGAGCCACAUGCUCGUGUGCUAGGCCGUGUGCCUCAAACGAUUGAGACACACACUCAUGUAUCUGUUUGUGUGGAAAUACAUAAGUAUUCUAUUUUGAAAUUUUGAAUUGCAGGGGACACAUGGCCUGUAACAGCCCAUUUUUAGUAAAAUCAGAACAGUGUUUUCGGGACAACAAAUCCAAAGUUGAGAAAUUUUACCGUUUGUGUACUCAAUUUGUGAAAAAGGACUAAAUCGCAUAAAGUACAAAAGUUGGGUUCUAUUAGCUAAAUGUGUUAAAUAGCUAUAGAACUUUAAAGUGGAGGUCCUUAUAUGAUAAUUAGACCAUUAAAUGAGUUAGUGGAUGUGCAUGGCUUGGCAUUUAUGAAAUUAUUAAAGUUAGGUAAAGGUAUUUUGGUAAAAAGGCAAAUAAAAAUAAAAUAAACAAAAGAAAUAAAGAUAUCAUCUUUGUUUCAUCUUCCCCAACCGUUUAUACUAGCAAAAAAAAUCCAUGAAAGCUUGAAAAUUUUGGCUAAGAAUAUCCCUUGCAUGGUAAGUGAUUUUUGUCCCCUUUUUGUUGAUUUUUAUAUUUUCGGAAUCGUUGUUGCUUAAUCUAUUUAAUGAGAGGGCUAAUUUGCAAAACCAUUGAAUAUUUUAAUAUUUUCCAUUGAUGAGUAUAAUAGGUAUUUGAAGUUUAAUGGAAGAAUAUGAGUCCUUGUUGAUAGUUAAACACUUUUUGUUAAGUGAAUUUUUGUGAAAUUGACAAUUAAUGGCUAAAUUGAUAAAUGUGAAAACUUUAUGGUUAAAAUGUGAAAUAAAUAAAAUGUGUGGCCUUUUAGGGACACUAUUGAUAUUCGGCUAUAGUAGGAUUGUACUAAAUUGCAUGAAUGUGCAUUUUUAUGUUAUAGGGACUAAAUUGUAAAGAAGUUGAAAUAUUAGGGGCAAAAAUAUAAUUUUUCCAUAAAGUGAAUUAUGGGCUGUUUUGAUACCAUGAACAUUUUUCUAAGCUCAAUUCUAGUUAAAAAUGGUUAAUUUGCAUGUUUUGAGCUAAGAGCCAAAAUUGAAUAAAAGUAAAACUUUAGGGGUAAUUUUGUAAAAAUGUAAAAAAUGACCAAAUUGUAUGAAAUGAAGUGUUUUACUGUCUAAAUUAGUAUAUUGAAUGAAAUUAUUAAUUUAGAUCAAGAUUGGGUGAAAAAUCGAGGAAAAUAUAAAAUUACCAAAAUGCCCCUGAACUUCGGUGUUUCUACAAUUUAGCCAGGUAAGUUCGUAUGUUAAUAAAUACUGUUAAAUUGUGCUAUAAAUUUAUUAAUAUUGUUGAAUUGAAUCACAAUGCGGAUUGGAAAUGAGUACGAGCACAAUCGACAGAGUUAUGACAUCCGAAAGUCCCGUACGAACUUUAGGAAUAGCUUAGGACCUAAAUGUCAUGACAUUAGGAUUACCGGGAUAUGAGAUUCGUGUAAGACCAUAGCUGGUCUAUUGGCAUCGACAUACUAUAACAUGUAAGACCAUAUCCGGGAUUGGCAUUGUUAAGUUAUACGAGAUUUCCUAGUAUCUUUAGCGAUUCCAAAUGGUUCAACGGGCAUAGUCAAGACGAUAAUGAAAGUACAAUCAAAUUAAGUGUAAUAGGUACGUACAAAACCUAUAUAUGAGAAUUGAAUGAAGGUAAUUUGGUAAGUUAUUAUUGUAUCAUCUGUAUGAAAUGAGAAAGAUUUAUGUAUAAGGAUGUUUCAUGCCAAAAAUGUGUUUAUUUGGCCAUAAUGAGGUAUGGAUUGAAUGAUGUGUGAGAUAUGAGUUAUAGAUGUUUUAACUAAAUAUACAUAUGGCACAUAGUGUGCAAAAUACCGUUAUUUGAUGAUAUUUCACAUGAUUUAUCUUUACUAAAUAAAAUGUGAUUGAUAUUGGAUUGAAUAAAGUUAUAAAUAUAUAUAUUCGCUUAUGUUCGUGUAAGUGUGAAUGGUUGGACAACAAUGUAAUUGAUCCACACGAUCAAAUAAAUAAAUAAACUUGUGAAACUCUUGGUUAACUAUGUGAUUAGAUUUAUGGUAUAUAGGUGAAAACGAAUAAAUUACAUUAUAGUAUUUUUAAAUGCUUAAUAUGUGCUUAUUCGAUAAAAUGAGUUUAAUAUCAUACGAGCUUACUAAGUUUUAUAGUUUACUUUGUGUUAUUUUUCUAUGCUUUUUAGUGAUUCGGACGUUCACUCGGGUUGGAAGUCGGUGGAGAUCACAUCACAUUAUUCGGUUUUUUAUUUCGGUAUUUAUACACUUGUGACUUAGUUAUAUGGCAUGUAUAGGCUUGAAUUAUGUGGAAAUGUGUUUGGUAAUGUUGAUUGUGAGUUUGGCUUAUAUAUGAUGUCAAUGUUGGUGUGUAUUUGGCCAUUUAAGUUGGCUUAAUUCAUAAGUUUUAUAAGUGAUAUAUGAUGCGUAUAUAUAUAGAUAGCCUCAUGUUUUGGCAUGUUUGGUAUGAUAUAGGGAUGAUGAAUUGGUACAUUUUGAUGAUGAUAACUAAGACCUAAAUAUGUAAUAUGGAAGUAAACCUAUAAAUCUUGAUGCAUGAGAAUUAGUAAGUUUGGGCUUGACUAAGUAUGAUGUUUUGAGUAUGUAUAAGUUGACAAGAUAUUGCCAUGAUCAUGACUUGUUGAACGAUGUUUAAGUAAUCAAAUAUGUUGUGAUAUAUGACUUUGAAGUUAUAAAUGUGUUUGAGCAAAUAAGGGUGACAAAUGGCUUGGAAAAUAGCCUCAAAGUUGUCCACACGGGUAGACAUUCGGGCAUGUGUCUAGGCCGUGUGUGACACACGGCCUGCCUCUAUGGGCAUGUAGUUCAGUCGUGUGUCCCCUGCAUAUUAUAUUUUAGCUUCGAAUUGGUUACACGGGCUGAGACAAGGUUGUGUGAGGGACAGGGCCUGGAGACAUAGGCGUGUGCUCUGGCUGUGUGAAGUCUGCACUUAAUUUCAAGAAUUUAAUUCACCACACGGCCUAAGGAUACGGUCGUGUGCCUUGGCCGUGUGACCCCAUUUUGUGCAUGAUGUCAUAAACAGAAACUUACACGGGUUGAGGACACGGGAGUGUACCAAGCCAUGCGGGCAUGUGUGACCACACGGCCUACCCACACGGGCGUGUGGCCCUGUUUCAUGAUAAAAUUUUUUUAAGUUUUCCAAAAGUUUCCAAAGUUCUCGGUUUAGUCUCGAACCACCCCCGAUGUAUGUUUUGGGUCUCGUAGGCUCGUAUAAGAGACGUUGUGAAUGUGUAUGAAAAGUUUUAAAUUGGAUGAGAUUUUAUAGCCCGAUUUUGCAUGAAUGUUUAUGUUUUAAGUCCAGUAAUGCCUCGAACCCUGUCCUAGCAUCGGAUACAGGUAAAGGGUGUUACAUGGCCUAACCACACGUCCAUGUAUAAGCCAUGUGUCUUACAUGGUCUGGUCACACGCCGGUGUGCCAGGCCAUGUGGACUCAAAAUGAGCCUUAGACAUCAAGUUUUCCAACCUUGCAAAUCUUGAAUACCGAGCAAUUCAAAUAUCAUUUAUUCAACCAAUCUAAAGCACAAUCAAAUACGUUAACAUGUCAAAAUAAUGAACUUAAUGAUCUAAUCAUUAUACCCUAAUAGGUAUUCACAUAUAUUAUUCAAAACAAUCUAAAUAAACACCAUUUAACCAAUUCUAAUCUCAUGCCAAAACAACACUAAAAUUUACCUAUUCCAUGCUCAUUCACACUUUAGUCCAAACUAGCCAUUUUAUAGCUUCAACAUAACACUUAUGUCCAUGUAUUAAAGUAAUAAAAUCAUUUUAUAACAUCAUUUACAAACACUUUCCAAAAUAACCAACUUAAGACCAUCUAGGUACAUGCUAUUACCAAAAAUAUAAAUAUAUUUCACCCUAUUUGAGUACGGGAUUAUUGUAGAUGCCGAUUCGACGAUUUGACUUUGACCUAACCUGCGCAUAGAAAAACAAACCAUACGCUAAGUAUGAACUUAGUGGUAUUUCUAUAAUUCGAAUACUUUAAAGUAAUAGCAUAGUAAAUCAUGCACAUUUUGCCUUACAAGUACAUUAGUCAAACAAUAAAUCAAGUUAUACUCUAACUUUCGUUUCUCAUCAUUAGCUAUUUCAAAUAGCUUUUCUCACUUUGUUCACAUAUCAUUUCACAAUAACCAUAUCCAUUUCAUGAACCCAUAGUUCAUGCAAAUUCACACAUUUCAAUUGUAUAAUUCAAUUCAUUGUCCAUUGCAAUUCAUAUUCAAUAUCAAUCAAUUUUCCAAUACAUUUAUUUACCCCUAUUAACGUAACCCAGACUCGGAUGGAUACACAGAUCCAACCAAAACACACUAGUUUGGCACCCAGUGCCUCAUCGGAUAAUUCGAAGUAAUAGAUUGACACCUAGUGUCUCAUCGGCCAUGUCGAAGUAAAGUGGUACCUAGUACCUCAUCGAAUUUAUCCAAAUAAUAAUUUAACGCCCAACGUCUCAUCGACUCAAGGUUGAAGUAUCCCUGAACUCUUCCAAUCCUAUGGCAUGCCAACUAUAUCUGACUCAGCCCGAUACUGUUAAUAGGGUUCAAAUCACAUUUCAAAUGCCUCAAUUAUCAAUUAUUCACAAUUUUACAAUAAUCAAAAUUUCUCAAACAUUCAAUUUAAUAUCAAAUGCUAAUUACUCACCUUAUAAACUUACCACAAAUAUUAAUCAAAAUUACAACAAUUAUUAAUUAGAUUCGAAUUAUAGAAAUACAAACCGUAAUUUUUGAGUCACUCUUCGUCAACUUUCUCUUUUCCUUUCUUAGCUGAGGUCUCGAGCACAACGUUAGCUACGAAAAUUAGAACAAUUUAAAAUCAUCAUUACAUACAAUUUCACAUUGAAUAUUUCAAUUUAUAUUCAAAUUUUGCAUAAAUUCUAAUUUAGUCCCUAAAUUAAGACUAACAUUAUUUCUUCCAAAACUAUUUCAUAUUUUCAUGCAAUUCCCACUUUAGACUAAUUUCAACUUUCAAAUUUCACCAUAAACUCUAAUUUCAAAAUUCUCUCAAAUUAGUCCCUAUUACUUCAAAGCUUAUAAUUUGUUUUACAAUUCAAUCCCUUUUUCACUUCUAACUUGAAAUUCUAUCAAUUUAACCCUUAAUUCUUCAAUUUUUCAACAUGAACCACAUUUAAAAAUCUAAUAACUUCUAAAAUUUCAACAUAGAUUAAGUAGUACUUAGCAUAUGAUUCCAAAAACUCAAAAUUUACAAGAAAAUGGAUUAAAUUGACUUACCAAUCAAAUUUUGAACCUUAAAACCCUAAUUUUUCUUUUUUUUUCUUUCUCCCUUUCUUCUCUGUUUCAUUUCAAUACUCUCUCUUUUUUUAUCUUUAUUUCUUUUCUUUUUUUAUGUUUUAAUUGUAAUAAUAUAAUAUAAUAAUAAAUAAUAUUUAUUUAAAUUAUAAGUAAAUCGGUAAUUAUUAUUAAUAUAUGUAUUUUAUUAAUCCACAUGUUACCACCAUCACUAUACACUUGUCAACUUUUGGUUUAAUUACUUAAUUAUUCCCUUAACUUUUCUCCAUUUUAUAAUUCAACUUUUAUCCUAUAUACAAUUUAGUCGUUACACCUGAUUAAUUUUAAUUCAAGCUAAUUCAACGUUUUUCACAAACAGUGACCCAAAAAUACACUUUUCGAUACCCGUGACUAUCGGGUCAUUACAGUGUAUGUACUUGUUAUCUAUGGUGAUUGUAGGUCUAUUUGAGGGUUAAGGUUAUGCAUGAAAUGAUACUUUGUUUUUAUUGAUCUUCGAAGAAAUCCGGUAUGGAUAUAAAAAUGUUAAUGUUGGAUGUUAUAAGAAAAUAAUCAAAGACAUCAAGGGGAAUUAGAGAUGAAUUCAAAAUAAAGUAUGGUAACUAGUAUAUAUGGAAUAGACGGAAGUUUAGGAAGUAUUCGCCAAGAAGCAAAUUAUAUUUCCAACAGCAACUAGAUCGUCAUCAUGAGGCAUCAGCUACUUUGUAUAAGUAUCAUUGAGGUAAAUGAAGUUUUUCUCGAUAGUUCUUAUGAACUUAAUCGUGUAUGUUUAUGUUUCAGGUAAAGCGCUGAGGGAUUUUGCCAGGAGGGACCCUGUUAGGACUGCGCCAGUAAAGUGGCAUGUCGGACUAUUAUGCAUACAGAGCAAGUGCAACAGUGUUUUAAAAGUCAGAAGAAUUUCUUAGAAGAUUAGACUUGUGAUAAUUGUACUAAGUUAGGAUUUCCUUUUAAAAGCUUUAUAAUUAACUUUCUUUAAUUACUGCUGUUGAGUAUGGAUUUUCUUGAUGUUUAUGUAUUUUAAUAGAUCUUAUACAACUAUUUAAUUGUAAAUUUGUAAUAGUAGUUUAAAGUCAUGUCUGUUUUCAUAUGGUAACACCUAAGAUUUGGAUCCGGAGAAUCGUAUCUGGUUGAAGGUGUUACAACAUGGAAGUAAAAAGGAACUCACCAGAAACUCACUAAAAACUUUAGUACAGAUCUACGCAGCAGGGCCUUUGCCCUUGUUGUUAGGACCCUAGUUAGUUUCUUGAGCUAAAAGGAAGAAAAUUAUUCUUAUCAGAUCAUUAAUCUAUUAUGUAUGCAAGAAUCGAUAGCACCUAAUCUAGAAUCAGGAAGUUUCCUUCCUCACGAACAGUUCUAAAGUUUAUGCAUGCAACACUAUAAACACGUGAAUUUCUUCUAUAAUAACCUAAAGGUUACCAAAAAUUACCAUUAAGCUGGUAUAAAUGUAGAUGUUAGCUAAACACUGCGAACCAUCUUUGAAGAAGUUCUCAACACUAAGGUUUUUCAGAAACUUUUAGAGGAAUUCAGCGAAAAAGAUGUAAAUAUGACUUAUGCUAGCCAACAAUAACCUUAUACACUCAUGCAAUAGAGACAAGGUUUUGUGGAAAAAUUAGAUAAUCCCAUUAACACCCUUGAUUAUCGUGAUUAAAUGCACUUAACAAGUUUUAAGUCUAAUUAGUCUACAGUAGUCUAGUUCAGUUCUAACUAAAUCUCAACUAAAUCCCAACAUAACUAAUUAAGUAUUCAAGAACUAAAUAAAACAAGUUAUAAUAACUGCAAACUUAGCAAGUUCAUCCAAAACAUCAGGGGUGGGCGGAUACUUAACAGAAAAGUCUGCAAACUAGUGUUCGCCAAAACUAAGAGUUCACCAAAUGAAAAAUUACACCGUAUACUCUACUUAGCUAGAACAAAGACUUUACAUACUCAAUUCGACUAUUAACUUUACCAAGUAUACGCCAAAUAGUAACAGAAUACUGAGACUCCUUUGGGCGGGCUGUUACAAUUAUUGUGUUAUUUUUUUGUUACAUAGAUACAAGUUUAUUUUAUUUUAUUUUUCAAAUUGCCACGCCAACACAUUAAUUCUAAUAGAGUUAACAAAUAGGCCUAAACUUUUAGAUUCACAAAGUAAAAAGACUAAUUUUUUUAAAAUAAAAGUAUGAAGAUUAAAUUAAGAAAUAAAUAAUUAACCCAACGCUUAGCGUGGCUAGUAAAUGGAUCGAUUGAGUCAAUGCUUCCUACUUAGCAUAUUCUUUUUAGUGAAAUACAAGAACAGGGCAAAGCCAGAACAACAAGCACGACUAGUGCGACUCGAACCCAGGCCACACCUGGGACGAUGAACACCCUAACCAUUAGGCUAUCACAUGGGAUUCUUCUACUUAGCAUACUUUUAACCUAUAAACAAACUAAAUUUUAAUUAGCAUUUAAAAAAAAAACAUAGUUUUAGGUUUUCUUCAAACUAAAUUAUUUGAAAAAAAAAUACUUUUCAAUUGCUAAAAAUAAAAGUCAAUCAAUUUCUCAAACCUUUGUAUCUCAUUCUUUGCCAUUCUUUCAACCCAAGUUUUCACAUUCACUUUCUUUCUUUCUUCCUUUUGGUAAGACCUCAUGGGAAUUGAAAAAAAAAAAGGAUCCUACCUACUCAUUUUCUUUAAUGGAGAUCAUUACUUGUUAUGCUUAAAACUGAAUUUCAAAGUUCUUUAAAAACAAGUUUGAACCUAUGGUCAAUUCUGUAAACUUGGAGGAUUAAUAACAUUAUUUUCAAUGGGUUGAAAAGAGUGCUGAAGAAUGAGAUUGAAGGCAAUUGAUUAUGGUUUCAUUCGUAGAAUGUUGAAUAAUUAAUUUACUUUGAAAAUUAAACCCAAAAAUAUUUAUUUAAAAUGCCAAAUAGGUAUUAAUUUGUGAUAUGUUAAAAAUAUGCAAAGUAGGGAGUGUGGAUUCAAUUUUAAAAUAUUUCAAUAGUGUUAAUAUAAAUUUGUUAAUAAUUAAAGUUGAAUGUGCAAUUAGAUUAAAUAAAAAGUUUAUAAUCUAUUUGAAUGUUGAGGUUAAGUUCAAUGAUUUAUAAUGUAAAUUACUUUAUAAUUUUAUUACCUAAGGUUAAAAGUCAAUAAUUUCUUAAUUUAGUGGCAAGAGUGUUCGUGUUGUUGUAUGGGAGCUUGGAUUCAUUUCCUAACAAUCCCACCUUUAUUCUCAAUUUAAAAAAACAAAAGAGACACGUGUCAAAAAUAAUAAAUGAGAUACAAGAAGAGACAUAACGAGGUCGAAAUUUUUUGUUCGAUACACUUAUUCCCUUUAGAGUGUAGUGAAAAAUUUAAAAAAAAAUUGAAGUAACAAAAAAUGAAAACAUGACAUCAACGACUAACUUUUUUUAUAUGGUGCUUUUCAUAGGUCGGGUCGUGCCCUACUUCCAGAAUGAAUUUCAAACCUAUAACCAUUUUCGAGCUAGUUCGGCCCGGUUUGUCCAAUCAUUUAACUAUUCAAAUUAAUAUAAUAUUUAUUUAUAUAUUUUUAAAAAUUAAUAUUUAUAUAUUUUUAUAAUAUGAUAUAAAUUUAUUUAUUUUUAUUAUUUAUAUUAAAUUAGAAUUGAGUUAGUCCAACAUGAAAUAUUAAAAUCCUUAUCUAGAACCGAUCGAAGUCAAGUCUGGUGGAACCAUGGAUUUGUCUACUUUUAUAUAGUUAUAUAGACUUUCUUUUUGGUAUUAAAUCAUUUAUGUAGACUUACACUAUAAUAGAUGUAGAUUAUAAAUUAUAGAUAUUGACCAUGCAACAAUGAAAUAGUGCUUUGGAAUCGAAUUGGCAGACUAAACCGAUAUUACUAUCUGAUCCUGAUAGUCGUAUGGAAACUAUUGCUAUCCAGGCCUUACGAGUUACUGCCAUAAUCGUCGUAUGGAUAGCAAAAUUCGGAAACAGAGGCAAAAGGUUUGCUUACGGAGGCAGAAAACAGUUCUUCAUACAUAAAUUCACCAGAAGGAUUGAUGGCCUCCAUUUUGGAAUCUGCUCUCUCUUGCAGCUCCAAGGCAAGCUCUAGUGUGACCACCACCUCACCCAUUGCUGGCCUUUCAUUUCCCUUAUAAUGGGCACAACUAGAAGCGAUAUCCGAAUACUUUUCCAAACAUUCUGGAGCUAUCCUUCCCUUGAGGUAUGGAUCAAUGGAAUUAUUAAUGGUUCCUUCCCUUUGGGAUUCCUUCAGCCAAUUAAGUAUAUGUUGUUUAUGCUUUGGGAGCGUGCUAUCAUAGGCUGUUCUGCCUAAAAGAACUUCGUAUAAGAUGAUCCCAAAUGAGAAAACAUCAGAUUUUUCUGUCAGUUCCCCAUACAUGGCAUACUCCGGAGCCAUGUACCCAAAAGUACCCGUAAUUCUUGACUCUUUUCGAACUCUCGAAGCUUUUGACAUGCUAAAGGAACCCAAUCUCGAGAACCUAAAGUCAUGAAGCUUACAAGACAAUUCUUCAUUUAAAAGAAUGCUUCGGCUCGUAAUAUGACCGUGAAAUAGAGCGUAUUUUGCACCAGUGUGAAGGUAGUGCAGUCCUCGUGCUGCACUAAUGCAUAUUUGUAGCCUUCGCUUCCAAGGGAGUGGUGCAUAACCCUGACCGUAGAGAUGAUCAGCAAGUGUCCAUCUGCUCACGUACUCAUACACAAGGAUCAUCUCAUUUCGCUCUUCGCAAAUCCCAAUAAGAGAGACGAGAAGGGGGUGGCGCAACUGGCAAAGAAACCGUACCUCAUUUUGGAGCUCUCUCACUGCGUCUUGACAUGAUCCAUUUCGGCAGCGCUUGACACCAACUAUGGUUCCAUAAUCAAUAGUCCCUUUGUGGACACUCCAAAAACAACUUUCACCAAUAACUGAGUUGGGGUGGAAGUUGUUGGUGGCGGCUUUGAUCUCAGCUAGUGAAAAAUGACGGCAUAAACCCUCCGGUAGUUCUGAACCUCGAUUUAGUUGAGGGGAAGUUUUGUUUAAAACAAACAAGCCUAGACAAGAACACAAAGGGUUCUUCAUAGUUGCAUCUAAAAUACUAAAGAUUCAAUAGUAGUUAAAUAAAGAAACAGUUUUUUAGGAGACGGGAAAAAUGAGUACGAAAUAUAUAAGUUGGAUUAGAAAUACAAGUUUUUCGACAUUUCUAUUCCUAACCUUGAAAAGUAAGAUUUGAUUUGGUAAAACUGUGACUGUCUGAUUUCUAUACAAAUUUCAAAGCUCGUUAGAACCGGAAGAAAAUAUGAAUAUUUAACAUCUAUUUAGGUUUAGUUUGGAUGGGUUUACCUCUUGUAAAAUUUAAAACAACGGUAAUGAUAAGAUUAAUUAUCGUAAUGAUGAGAUUGAAUAUCGUAAUGAUGUGAUUUAAAACAGGUGUGGUGUGCUUGGAUUCAAACACAACUGUAGCAAACUAAGAUAUUAGAUUAGAAAUAAUAUAUAAUAAAAAAUUUAAAUUAUUUUAUUUUUACAAAAUUAUUAAAAUAUAUAAAUUUAUAAAUUCAUUUAAUAAAGUAUUAAAAGUAUUUAUUAUGUUUAUUAAAAUGUUUAUUUUUAAUUAAAAUAUAUUUAUUAAUACAUUUUAUUUAGUUACUAUAUAAUUAUAAAAAGUUAUUACAGUAAAUGAAUAAAUUUUUUGAAAAUUUAAAAAAAUGAAAAACUAAAAUAAAUUAUAUAAAAGCUGUUAAAGUUCAACAGUCAUGAAAAUGAAAAUCUCACCGAUAAUAUAUUUUAAUUUAUAUAAAAUAAAAUUUGUUAUUAUUUUAAAUUUAAAAGUAAAAAAAAAAAGGAGUAAAAGAAAAAAUAAUAAAGAGAACAAGAGUAAGGAUAUAAGUGGAAAUAAGCAACCAAUAAAUAUCCAAAAUUUUCACUGGAGCACAAAGCUCCAAUGUGUUUAUUAUAAUUUCUACUGCACUGGAUCAGACAAUCCAAAGAGAUCGCUUCAGUGCAGUUGAGUUAAAAGAGCACUUUAAACGCAUUACACUGGUUAAUGCGCAUACAAAGAGGUACAUACAUUACUAAAAGUAAUCAACACAACAUAGUAGGCAUCUACCCUUUUUAGUAGUCAAACAUUUUUCUUAGAAUUAUUGUUUUUCUAUGCAGCUCAAUCCCUACAUUUUCUACCUUACUAUCACAUCGGAAAUUGACAACGUUAACAAUUUUCAACGGCCACUGCAACUUAAAAACCCACUUUUUUUGCCAUUGAAACUGUGAUUAACAACUCUAGAUUGUUGUCAUAAAGAAAAUUGUAAAAAUCAUUCAGCUCAUCUAAGAACAUGAGGAUGUGCGACUGUCUUUUGCUUGAAUUUAAGCAUAUGGGGAAAAGAGGAAUAAAGGAAUCUUAAAGGCAAUUCAAGAGUACUAUGAAACUAUCCCUGACCUAUCAAAAUGGUUUAAAGACUACCUGUGAUAUUGCAGAUCAAUCUUUAAAAAUUGGAGAUUCAUAAUGGUCUAAAGACUACCUGUGAUAUUGCAGAUCAAUCUUUCAAAAUUAAAGAUUCAUGAUGAAGAGGAUGAGCAUAAAAUGAAAGACAUGAUAGACUACAGUAAAGAUUUUAAGGAUAGUGCUCAAUUCCUCCACUCAAAUCAAAAUAGCUGAAAGAACUUUUAAUAAAAAUAAAAUAAAAACCAUAACAUUUUACCAAAAAUCCUAACUAGAUAUCACUUAUCUUUCAAUCUGGGUUACAGAGUCUGCCCUAAUUAUAUCAAUCUUUGGCUCCCCUUCAUUUCCUUGAGAUUUCUUUUGCAAUCAAACUCUUUUGCUGUCACGAGUUUCUUGAAGAUUUGGAUAUUGUUAAAGUUUUUUUGAUAGUAAGAGUUUUAAGGAUUUCACGAUUUCAGAAUUAUAGUUUUUAAGGAAUUCAUGAUUUGGGAUUAAAGGGAUUUUACAUAGGUUUUAAUUUUUGGGUUAAAAUUAUUUUUUACAAAUUAUUUAUUUCUUUUUAAUAUCAUAUUUAAUUAUUUUUUGACACGUCAUCUUCAUCCUCGCAUGUCACAUAGUUAACUUCGUUGACCGGCACUUAACUAAUGGUAAUUGACACUUCCUGUUAAAAUUAGGUUGAUUUGUGAAAAACCCCUAACGUUGAAAGCGUCAAUCUAAAAAAAUAAGUCAAAAGCACAAAACUAAAAAUCCAUAAACAUUGAGAGAAUUUUUAACAAUUACGCUAGGGGUAAGCAAAACUCGAUUCGACUAGAAAAAAUAAAAAAAAUUAGAAUUUCGAGUUAAACGAAUCGAGUUAUUCGAGUCAACUCGAAUUUUUUUUUCGAAUUUCGAGUUCGAAUCGAGUUGAGUUUUUGAAUUCGAAUAAUUCGAAUAAUUCGAAUAAUUCGAAUAAUUCGAAUAUUAAACUAUAGUAUUUUACAUUUUUACCCCAAACUCCAAAACUUUGGUACGUUGCCCGCAAAACCUUUUACUGCCCCUUCGAUCCCAACCCCCAAUGUACCCCAAAAUCAUGUUCCCACCAAAUUGUACCUCUCCCAUUUACUUUUUGCUCAAAAUUUUACUCUAAAAAACUCUCAAAACUUUUGAUUUUCCCCCAUAAUUUUGACUCCCUCCCACUUUCCCUCUAAAAUUGUUACUUCCUUCCAAUCCCACCUCCCAUCUUCCCCAAAUCCAUCCCCCAAUUUUUGUUAAUAUUUUCCCUCCAAAAUGUUACCCCUUCUAUUUACUUUCCCUCAAACUUUUAUCCCCUAAAACUUUUAUUUUCCCCCUAAAUUUUUACUGCUCACCUUUUACUCGCAAAUAAAAAAUCAAAAUUAUCCAAAAAAACAUCACUAAACAUAAAUAGUAAUAAUUUUAUUUAUAUCUAUUAUUUAUAUUAUAAAUUAAAUUUCACAUUUUAUAUUAUUUUAUAUUAUAAAAUUGUUUAGUCCUAUUGAAUAUUUAUAUUAAAAUUAAAUUAUUAAUUAUGCCAUUAAAUAUUCAUGUUAAAAUUUUAUAUUGGUAUCAAUUUCACAUUUUAUCUUUAAAAUAACUUUUAUUAAAAAAUCACAUUUUUACAUUUAAUGUAUUUUUUAAUUCCAAAAUACAUAGUGACAAGAAUCUAAAGAUAAUUGAAAAAACUAAACAAGCAAAUAAGCUAAUCCGUAUAUAAAAGAUUAAUAAAUAAAUUAUGAGGUGAUAAAAGUUAAUAAAGAUUUUGAUUAAGAUAGACAAAUUUUAUUACGAUGGGUGACAGUAGUUACAAUGAUCCAAAAUUAUUUUUUAAAAUUUAACUCGAACAAAUAUAUUCUAUUCGAUUCGAUUCGAAUUCCAUCUUACUCGACUCGAUUCGAGAAAAUUUCAAAUCAAAUUAGGAUGAUAAAAUAUGAUUCGUUAACUCGAUUAACUCAAAAUUUUUUCAUUCGAUUCGAUCGAACGCUCACCCCUAAAUUACGCCAUUAUAUUAUAAUAAAACUUUCCUAGGUUUAUCUAUUUGUUGUGCAGAGCAUGCUACUCAGAAUUUUUAUUAUAUUACAAUCCAAGUUUAGCAACUAGUCUAGGUUUCAUCUCCUAUCCUGUCUAAAACUUGCUAAAAUUAUAGUCAAACUUCACUAAUUAGCCUAGGUUCAAUCUCUUCUCCUGUUCUCAACGUAUAACAAUUUUUUGGAGUUAUUUUAGAAAGUGAUCUAUAAAAAGAUUAAAAUUUAUAAUGAAAUUAUUAGAAAAAAAGUAAUUUAUAAAAUUGUUUUAGAAAGGUGUUUUUCUUAAUAUUUAGCAUCGUUACUCAUAAAUAUUUUUGAGUAGAUAAAAUUUUUAUUUUAAUUAUAAUAUUGUAAAAUCGAAGAUUUAAUAAAGAGAUAAAAAUAUAAUUUUAUCACUUUUUCUAAAAAUUAAAAAUUUUAGAUUAAUUUAAAAAAUUUCAAUUUAAAAUUAAAGUUUGGUUUGAAAAAUCAUUUGUUUACCAAAAUUUUUUAUUUAAAAUCAUGGUUAACCUCAAUGAUAAGCAUACCAGAAUAAAAUUUCAAUAUAUAUUAAAGUCUGCCUUUUUUUUAUCAUUUAAACUUAAUUAUAAAUAUAUUAAUAUUUUUUUUCAAAAAAAUUGAAAUAGUAUCUUAAUUUUCCCAUUCGUUUAAAUUCAAUUUCGGCAAUUUAUUUUUAUAAUUUUUUAUUUGACAUUUCAACUUUAUAAAAAAUAGUAAUUUUAGUUUAUUUAUUUUUCACUUUUUUUAGUUUUUAUAUUUACGUUUUUUUUAAAUUACCUCAAAAUUGAUGAAAGAAUUAAUAUAUUUAAUUAUAUUAAUGUGACAUACAAGUGGAUUAUCAUGUAGAUAACACACCAGCAUUUAAUUAAUUUUAAAAUUUUUAAAAAUUCAAAAAAAUAAAAUUUAUUUUUUAAAAAUUAAAAAUCAUUAAAAUUAUUUAAAAAGUAUAAAAAUUAUAAAAAAAUUAUUAAAUAUUUUUUAAAUUUUAAAAAAUUAAUUAAAUGUUCAUAUAUAACUGCAUCAGUGAAGUUAACAAAAUUAAUUUUUUCAUUUAUUUUAGAUAAUUUGACAAAAACUAAAAAUUAAAAAAAAUUAAAAUGAUUUUUUUUAUAAGGUUACAUUAUUGCUUUUUGUUUUUUACUGAAGGACUCAUUAAUAUGAGUAAGUUGAUUUCAUUCGGAAUAUUGAUAUUUAAAAUUUGAAGUGUCAUUUUCUAAUAUCUCUCACAAACAACUGUGAUGCAUGGAGUCUCUGCUCUAAGCAUCCAUCUAACCAGUUCUUCUCUUCUCCAAUUUUCUAUUGACUAACCUAAUAGGAUAUUCGUUAGAUUUGAUAGGAUGGAUUAUCACAAGUCAUUAAAAUGAUAAAUUUAAAAUGAACCAUUAACAUUGGCCGCCGAUUUACCAUUACACAGAUUAUUAAAAAAAAGUUUUACAGUGUGCUUCAAAGUGUUCAAAUACUUGAACAGAGUUCUUAAACUUGCUUCUCAUGUCUUGCGGACAAAAAGGCUUACUCAGUUCCGCGUUUUCUCUCUUUUCCUGUCCAUCACAGAUCCUGAACCAAAGUCAAACACUCCUAAAAUCCCAAAGAGUGUUGUUUUCCCUGUUUUCCAACCAAGAAAUGGCUAAUCUUUUAUUGUUCAUUACUGGAUCAUUCUUCAAGCUGUGUUCUUUCAGCCUUUUGAUUCUCUUCUUGAUUUCUUGCUCAAGUUUCCCCUCAACAGGUUAGCGUAACCUUUAUUUUUAUUAUGUUUGCAAAGUUUGAAAAUAUUUGAUUGCUUUUUUGUAUUAGAAAAAGUUGGUUCUUUCUGUUUUGAUGAAAUGUGGUUUCUGUAAUCGUGUAAAAGCUCUUUCUUUUAUGGUUUUUGUGGUGUUCUUGAUGUCGAUGUUAAUGGGAUUCUAUUGGAGAAGUUGGUACAAUACACCAGUUCCCAUGCUAGUGAAUGCCAUUGGUCUGUCAUGUAUAUGACAUUAUUGGUUUAGAUAAUGUCAAAAGAUGAAUUGAAACCUUGGACCUCUUACUGUAACACCCCCUAACUCCAAACCGUCGCCGGAACAGGACUACGAGACAUUAUUGGAUAUAUCAGACAACUUAUGGAUAUUUUACAAUUAUUAUAACAUUCAUAGUAUAAUUGAAGAAUUAUGUCCCUAUAAUGGACUUUCGAAGCCCAACACAAGUAUUAAAGUGGAAUGGAACGGGACUUGUUCGAGUAUUCAGAGAUUUUUUUUUAUUUUUUUUUAUUUUUAUAAAAAUUUCGACAGCAUUUCUUCUUAAUUUUUACAUAAAACCCCCUGCAAAUUCAAAACAAAAACCAACUAAUCCAAAACCAAUGGCACAAUCAAAAACAAUUUAAACCUAAAUAUAUCUAAAUCAUAACCAAUUCAUUAACAUAGUCAUCUAAUAACUAAACAUUCAUAAUAUUAAUCCAAAUUAACUAAUAACUUCAUUCAUUUUUCAUUCCAACUUAUACCAAAUUAUAUAGUAUAAUAUUUACCAUUUUAUCAAACGAAUAACAAAAUAUGGUAUACCAUUCUUAUAACCAACUUUACAAGUAUAUCUAUAUAACUUAUACAACACCUAGUACAUGCCACUUUCAAUUAAGAAAGAAAACAUCACCCAAAAUUUGCUGGAGUCGGGAUUGUUCAGAUGCUGGACCGGGGUACUAGACUCCUAUUAACCUGCGCACGGAAACAACCGCACGCUGAGUAUUCCGUACUCAGUGGUAUUACCAUAAUUCUAAUUAUAAUAGCAAUAAAGAAUUUUAAUUACCAAACAUGUAACUAUCUAAUUUCACAAAUAUCAAUUCAUUCUUAAACUUUCAUUAAUUAAUAAUAACGAUACAAUUUUUAUCUAUUCUUCAGUUUCCAUCACAUAUUACAUGUAACAAUUUCAAUCACUACAUAAAUAUUAAGUUCAUGCCUUUCAUUUUCAAUCUCAAUUUCAAUCCACUAUUCAACUUUUUCGUUUCUUUCAAUAUUUCAAUAAUAUAAUCAAUCAAUUUAUUUUAAAUUUUUCAUUUUAGAUAUUCACCCUAUUAACAAAUCCGGACUUUGACGGAUACACGGAUUCCAACCCAACACACCAGUACGGCACAUUGUGCCUAAAACGGUACAUAGUACCUGAUCAGUAUACGACACAUAAAGUGCCUAAAAUGACACACGAGGUGCCUGAUACGACACACGAGGUGCCUGAAAUACGACACAUAAAGUGCCUGAUCAGUAAAGCCGGCAAAUUCCCGUACACUUCCAGAUCCUAUGGCAUGCCAAUUAUAUCCGACUUAGCCCGACUAGUUAAUAGGGUAUUUCAAUUCUCAAUUCACUUUCAUUUCCAUUCCAAGAUUACUUUUCAAUUAAAAUUUUCACAUUCAAAUCAAUUUACAAUUCAAUUAUACAUACACAUUCACCAUCCAAUUCAAUUCUCAUUCAACUCAAAUAUCAAUACUUACCUUAUAAUUCACUUAUUAAAUAUAGAAUUCAUAUAAAACAUUUAAUAAAAAGUAAUUUGAAUUAUAGUAAUACAAACCAUGAAUUUCUCGUUUUAAUCCUCAAUAGCUUUCUCCUUUCCUUUGUGCGCCGAUGUCUUGGGUUCUUUGUUAACUACGAAAAUAAUAAUAAUUUAUAAUCAUCAAUAUAACACAAUUCAAUUUAAUCCAUGAGCCUAAACAUGCAAAUUUAACCAUUUUUAUACACAUAAUUCCACUAUUUACUUAUAUGUUCAUUCAAAGCUGUCUACUUGAGUCAUUGUUACUAAAUCAUUUGUAUCUUGAGCUAGGAAACUCCAAAUUAAGAUCCACUAAUUUUCCCUGAAACUAGACUCACAUAUCUUCUUACCAUAAAAUUUUUAUAAUUUUUGGUUUAGCCAAUAAGUACAGUUUAUUCUUUAAAGUUGCCCCUGUUCUGCUGUCAAAUAGUUCCGACCAUUCUUCACUAAAAAUUAAUUAUAUCACAGUACAGAACUCGGAUAAUAUUCCUGUUGAUUUCUCCUGAAAAUAGAUUCAUUAAGGAUUCUAAACAUAUAACUUUAAGCCUCUAAUUAUUUUUCUUCAAUUUUUUGUGAUUUUCCAAAGUCAGAACAGGGGAACCCGAAUUUAUUCUGACCUUGUCUCACAAAAUUCAUUAUAUCUCUUAAUUUACAAUUCAAUUGCUGAUAUCGUUUCUUCUAUAAGAAACUAGACUCAAUAAUAUUUAAUUCCAUAUUUUAUUCAUCCUAUAAUUUAAUUUCUACAAUUUUUGGUGAUUUUUCAAACUUAGACUACUGCUGCUGUCCAAAAUAGUCUUAGUCCAAAAUGUUGAUUUACUUUAAUUUCAAUUUAAUCCUAACUAAAUUCACUUACUUUUCUAUCUUAAUUCAUACUUUAUUUCUAUUCAAAUUUUGUCCAAACUCAUACUUAACUAUUAAAUUUUCAGCAUAUUUUCAUAAUUUCGAAUUUAUUUCCAUUUAAUCCCUAAAACUCAAAACUUAUAGCUUAGUUUACGAUUCAAUCCUUUAUUCAAUUCCAAUCAAAAUUUCUAUCAAAUAAACCCUCAAUUCCAUCAUUUUAUUCAACAUGAACCAAACUUAGAAAUCUAAUGACUUUCAAAAUUUCUACUUAAAACAAGUACUAUUUAUCUCUAGGAUUCUAAAAACUCAAAAAUCAUAAGAAAAUGGGCUAAAUUGACUUACCAAAUUAACUUGGAACCUUUAAACCCUAUUUUCCCUUUUUCUUUUCUUUCUUUCUUUCUCCCCUGUUUCUUCUCUGUUUCGUUUCCUGCUAUUCUGUUUCCUUCCUUCUUUUUAUUCUUUUGUUUCUUUCCUUUAUUUCCUUUUUAUUUACUUUACUUUUAAUAAUAAUAAUUUAAUAUAUAUUUUAACACAUAAAAAUCUCAUAUUUUUAUGCUUAUGCCGCCUCACUUAGGACAAUUGGCAUAAUUUCCAUUUUGGUCCUCUUCAUUUUCUUUUAAUCUACAAUUUAACUUUCAUCCUUUAUUCAAUUUAGUCAUUUUUCUUAAUUACUCUUAAUUAAGCUAAAUUCACCUAAUUUAAACCUAAUUAAACACAUCGCUAAACUCAUAAAUAUUUCUAGUAAUUAUUUCGAACUCGAUUUAUUAAGACGGAGGCCUGUUAAUAUAAUUUUCCGAUGCCCGGGAAUUUUGGGUCAUUACACUUACUAUGUCUGACCAGUGCUAGUCUGAUAUAGAUUUCCUUCAUCAUUUCUUAAUCUAGGAUUAGGCCUUGGAAACGUAUUUAUUUUAUUUUUUGUUAACUCUUUUACUUCAUGGUCAGAAGCCUAUGAUCCUCUGGACCCAAAUGGGAAUAUCACAAUCAAAUGGGAUAUCAGGAGCUGGACGUCUGAUGGCUAUGUUGUAAGUAUUUUUUUUCUUUGUAUUACAAAAUAUUACAACUAUGGUUUUGCUUAACAUAGAAAAAUGAAGAAACAAUGGUUUAGAGAGCAUGAUAUGCAUUGGACGAAGAUGGGAUUAACUUCUUAAUGAAAUGAGCAGGCAGUGGUUACAAUUUAUAAUUUCCAGCAAUACCGUCAUAUACAAGCACCAGGGUGGAAACUAGGUUGGACAUGGCCUAAGAAGGAGGUGAUUUGGAGCAUGAUGGGAGGGGAAACAACUGAACAAGGGGAUUGUUCAAGAUUCAAAGGUAACAUUCCACAUUGCUGUGCACCCAACUGUUGUGGAUUUAUUGCCAGGAACUCCUUACAAUCAGCAGAUUGCAAAUUGCUGUAAAGGGGGAGUGCUAAACUCAUGGGCACAAGAUCCAGCCACUGCAGCAAGCUCAUUCCAGCUGAGUGUAGGUCAAUCCGGUACUACAAAUAAGACAGUAAGAGUUCCUGUGAACUUCACUUUGAAGGCACCAGGGCCCGGUUAUACUUGUGGACCAGCAAAAAUUGUGAAACCCAGUAGAUUUGUUACUCCGUAUGGAAGAAGAGAAACACAAGCUAUGAGUAAGUUGCUUGAUUAAGAUGUAGAAUGCCUACAUGAAUCAGUAUAAAUGGUUGUAAUUGACUCUACUUCUUUAUGACAGUGACAUGGAAUGUUACAUGCACAUAUUCACAAUUCCUAGCUCAGGAAGCACCUAGUUGUUGUGUCUCUUUCUCAUCCUUCUACAAUGACACCAUAGUACCGUGCUCUAAAUGUGCUUGCGGCUGCCAAAAUACUUCUCAGCCAGGGAGCUGUGUGGAGUAAGUUGGCUCAGCCGAAAAGAUACUUAUACGUAGGAGUUUUUUUAGCUGGAGAUGCCUUUCUAUCUUAUUUUGUUUAUUGCUUCCUAAAGCCUUUUGUUGUUAAUGUGCAGGUCAAAAGCUUCACAUAUAGCGCUGGUUGCUAACAGCUAUACACCUUUGGUCCGAUGUACAAGCCAUUUGUGGCCGGUGAGAGUUCAUUGGCAUAUUAAGCUUAACUACAAGGAGUACUGGCGGGUUAAGAUCACCAUUACUAAUUUCAAUUACAACAUGAACUAUACAGAGUGGAACUUAGUUGUGCAACAUCCCAACUUUGACAAUCUGACUCAGAGUUUCAGCUUUAACUAUAAGUCCAUAACACCAUAUACAGCAAUAAGUAAGUUGAAUCCAUCUUGGUCACUUUUGCAUAUGUUUCUUGCUCUUUGCGGCUUAUGUUUGCUUAUUUUAUUCAACAGACGAUACUGCCAUGUUAUGGGGUGUUAAAUUCUACAAUGAUAUGCUUUUGGAAGCUGGUCCACUUGGUAAUGUGCAAUCAGAGUUACUUUUCCGAAAGGAUAAAGCAACUUUCACUCUUGAGGAAGGUUGGGCUUUUCCGAGAAGGAUCUAUUUCAAUGGAGAUAAUUGUGUUAUGCCACCUCCUAAUGUUUAUCCUGGGUUGCCUAAUUCCUGUUCCCACCAGCUUACCUCCGCACUUGGUCUGUUGGUGACUCUCUUGGCAGCUAUGGCGUUAUUAUUUGGACAUGCAUGAACAUCAAUCAUUUUUAUUCUAUAACAACUGGUAUAUACUAGUUUGACCGAAUCAAUUCAACUAUAGAACAUAGGAUUGGCAUUUCAAGGUGAAGGUGCUUUCUAUUUGAUGUAUGGUUAGCUAAUUCACUAUGAUUUGAUCAUUUGUGCUGUUGUAUGCAUGUUCAUUUCUGUACUUAGCCAUCUUGAUUGUAGAAUUUCCUCCAUAUUUUACUACAGUGGUAACAAAAUAAGUCAUUAAUCAAAAUUUUAGCUGAUUCAUAUAGUGAUUAUUUUGUUGUAAAUCUUAUUUCUACUUAAAAGAGUUAUAAUAUUUCUUUUUGGUAGAAAAUAAUUUUGCUUUUUAUUAUUAUUAUAAAUUUUAUAUAUAAUCAAAAUCAAAAGAAAGUAUAAAUUUAAAGACUAAAAUUAUUAUUAAACCAAUUAAAAAAGUAUCGCUUAAGGACAAGGUUACAAUAAAUAAUUUCUGAUUUACUUUAUAUUUCACUAUUGAUCUAUAAAAUUCAUAAGUUGUCUUUUACUCUCCAUUUUCUUUGUUUUUUUAUUUUCUAUCUUUUUAUUUUCAUAACACUUUCAACAAAUUUUAAAUAUUGUUUCAACUUAUUAUUAUUUUUUACAAUUUUUUAGAUUAUUUAUAUAAUUUAGUUUUUUAUUUUAUUUUAUAUAAUUUAAAAGAAAAAUAGCCAUCGACUCUAAGAAAUACACGGAAAUAUUUGUUAUGAAGGGGCGCAUACAACUUUGCUGACAUACCCAGAUUCCCUUGUGCUACAAUUUUGUUACAAAAUCCCUUUUCCGAUUCAUUGAAACAAUUUCGAAAAUUGUAAAAUUGUGUACUUUCUCGCUGUCAUUUGUGCUCAUACAACAUGAGAAACGAUCACCAAAAGGUUACAAAUAAGAAAAACAUUGCAGCAAUGAAUGUAAAGCUGGUGAAGGAUAGGUGUUGAUGGGCAGAGUUUGGUAGAAAUGGGUAUGUAUCAGGUGGAGGGAGCAUGCAUUCAUCACCAUUGAAAUACACUUUCCUGGGAAAUGCCCAUCCUUGUUUGAAAGUAAAGGUAUCCUUGUCCUUCCUCAGAAGCACCUCUGAUUGAACAUUUCCUAAUGGCCCUGCUUCCAUCAACAGGUCAUUGUAGUACUUCAUGCCAUAGAACAUCCCUGUGUCAUCUGCACAUGGACAAAAUAGCUAUGAUUUUAAGUAUCUGUUUAUAAUUAGACUGUGAUGAUAAAUGCAAGCAAAAAGCUGUCAACAAACUUACUGAUUGAUUCAUAAGGAACCAGCGGCUUGUAAUCGAAGCUGAAAACUUGUGUUACGUUGUUAAGAUUAGGGUGCUGGACAACAAGGCUCCAUAGCGUGUAGUUCAUCCGGUAGUUGAAGUUGGUAAUCGAUACCUUAACUCGCCAGUACUCUUUGUAGUUGAGCUUGACAUGCCAGUGUACUCGCACAGGGCACAUGUGGUGCGUGCAUUGAAGCAGUGGAGCAUUAUCUUUCCUUGGUGUGUUCAAUCCUACCAUUUUAAGAAACUUGGAAUCACUCCUGCAACAUUGCAUUCAUUGUGAGAUUUCGAUGUUCAUGAUAUCUGUAAAUAAAUCGAGUUUAAGCAUUCAGGAAUGGAAUGUCAGCUUACUUGACACAGUUGUUCUUGUUCUGGCAUCCACAUGCACAAGUUGGGCAAGGAGUGAUGGUUUCAUUGUAGAAAGACGAGAAAGAGACACAACAAUUCGGGUUUUUCCGAGCUAGAAAUUGCGAAUAAGUGCAGGUCACAUUCCAUGUCACUGUAGCAUAGAAUAUUGAAACAGAUCAAUCUAAUUGCAACAAUUAGGUAAAAUCCAGAUCGUGUGAGACAAAAAGGACUUACUUAGGGCCUGAGUUUUUCGUCGGCGAUCUGGGGUGAGAAAAGUGGUCGAUGGCACGACCUUUGCAGGACCACAAGUGUAACCUGGUCCCGGACCAAGUAAAGUGAAGUUCUUGGGAAGUUUGACAGUCUUGUUUGAAGUACCGGCUAAUCCAACACUAAUUUGGAAAGCAGAGACAGCAGAUUGAGGAUCUUGACCCCAUGCUGCAAGCACUCCACCUUUGCAGCAAUUGGUGAAUUGUUGAUUGUAGGGAACACCAGGGAGCAAGUCUACAACCGUGGGGGUUUUCUUGCAGCAGUGAGGUAUAUUUCCUUUGAACUUUGAGCAAUCACCUUGCUCAGUAGUUUGAGCCCCUACCAUGGACCAUAUUACUUCUUUCUUAGCCCAUGUCCACCCCAAGGUCCAACCAGGACUCAUGAUGUGCCGAUACAUUUGAAAAUUGUUCAUUGUAACCACUGCCUGUAAGAUAAUCAUUGGCACAAGAAGCUCAGAUAUAUUAUAUAUAUAGCUAUGACCGGUGCAACUUACAUUAUUCUGGAUACAUAUUUAGCACUCACCACAUAGCCAUCAGGCGUCCAAGACACAAUAUCCCAUUUGAUUGUUACAUUUCCAUUUGGAUCCAAAGGAUCAUAUGCAGCUGCAACAACAAAGCAAAGAAAUUAAAUGCAAGGCAAUUGAAUAAACAUUAAAAAAAAAAAAGCUGUGGGAACUGAAUAAAUGUUCACCUGCAUAAGAAAAGAGGACAAAAAGAAACAAAACUGAGAUGAAAAACUUCAUCUCUAUGGACUUGUAGCAAUGGCGAGACUCAGGUUCUGAUUUGAAGCAAUAUUCCGACAAUUGCUGAAUGCAGACUACUCUUUAUGAAUUUUCUUCCGACACUGCAAUGGCAGCUAUCAUUAGUAAGAAGAAAAGUUGGUAGUGUUGUUUUGAGUGCUAAGAAAGAUAGAGAAAAAUUUCCCACAUUUCCAAUAUUGGAAGAGUUAGGAAGACGGCUUACCAACUGGUUGUUAAGUGCUUGUAUUUUGAGUGUGUGUGUAUAUAUAUUUUCUUUCGGGAUUUUUCGCUUUCCAUAACUUGAAGCAACUGCUAGGUUGCGCUAAAGCUGGGGGCUUAAGAGUUGUCUGAGCACAACAUCUCAACGGCCCCCGUUGAGGGUGACCUUUUACAGGCUUUUAACCACACAAGACAUUUCCAGAAGCCUGGCUUUGUUCUUUAUUUUGGAAAUCUGUGGAACAUGUAAAAUUGAAGACAAAUAUAGGGUAUUUGAGUUUGGACUGGUCUGCUCAGUAAGUAAUCAUAUUCAAGUGUAGGUGUCGUUGAAUUUCACGCUACCUUUUGUCUGCUUAAAACCCAUUUGUAGUUUGAUUUUCAGUAAACACCUGCAUAGGAAAUCAUUAUGAUUCAAAAGCUUUGAUUUUUUGUUGCCAAGUUUUUCGUAGAAUUCAGAAGGAAGAGUUUGAGUUAGAGGCAAGUAAACAGUGUAGGGACAAGUAGCCAGAUAAUACAUCAAAUCAUACAAUUUCCCUAUGCUUCAAUGCUAUACUUUUUUCACAUUAUUCUUUUAUUCUGAGACCUUCUUUUCUUCAAGAAGAAACUACCACAACAUGGUUUCCUAAAGGUUAUUGGUGCAACUAGAAAAUUCUCAGAACUAUUAACAAAUCAAUUAGCACAACUUUAUUAUGCUGUAGUUGAAAAUUACUAACCUCCUUAAGCUUAUUUAUUAACUGAAUUUUAAAUAACAAUAUAAAUUUACUCUUUAGUAAUUAUUAUUAUUAUUAUAUUCAUUUUUUAUUUAAUUAAAAGUAAUAAACUUAUAAUCAGUUAUAAAUUUAUUUUAAUUAUUAUUAAAUGAUAAAUUAGAUCAUAUUCUAAUUCUAAUAUAUAUAUUGUAAACCUAACAUUAAUGAUAAUUAUAUUUUCUUUUUGUCCUUUUUUUUUACUUUUUUUAUUUUUUAAUAUUAUUUAUGCAAAUAUAUGUUAAAUAUUUUAAACUUAAUUUUAAUUCAAUUAUAUAUAUUGGAUUUUUUUCUUUAUUUCUUUAUUUUAACCAAUUUAUUUUUCAUUAAAUUUUUUUAAAUAAUAGUAACUAAUUAAUUUUAAAUAAAAAUGAUUAAUGUUAAUAUAUAAUUGGAUUAAAUAUAGGUUAAAAAUGUUUAAUUUUACUUGAAUUUAAAGAUAAUUUAAUAAUAAUUUUAUUUUACAGUACUUCAAUAUAAUUUUUAAAGUAUUUGUUUCUAAAAAUUUUCAAGAUGAACAUCAAGAUUUGAAUUCUUGAAUUCAAAAGUUUUAUAAGAGUUUAAAAUAAAAUGAAAAAUUUGACUUUUGGCACCUUUAAUAUUUAUAAUAUUUUAAAUUAUUAUAUGAAAAGAUUACACUUUGAAUCCUAAAAAUGAUAAAAAAAAAAUUUGAUUUAGUUUUUUGAAAAUUAUAAAUAUAUAAGCUAUUAAAAUGGUGAAAUUAUAUUUUGACUAUCAUAAAAAUAUACAACUUAAUUUUGCCUCCAAACAAAAAUUGGCUUCACCCCUGAAUAUAUUGAAAUAAUUUGUAUAACGUUUGACAAGUUCGGAUACAAAUUUAGGAAAAGAGUUAAGUUGAGUAUCAAAUUGGACCUUCAAAAAGAUGAAGUGUCAACUCAUUUUUUUUUUUUUAAAAAAAAGUGUUUAAGUUCAAAUACUAAAUUAAGAAAAAAUUUCAAGUUCCAAAUAUUACAUUAAACCUUAAAUUAAUUAGUUGGUUAAGAGCAUGUAAGUAGAACUCUUAUUUAAUAAAUUGUAAAGAAGACCUACUUUAAAUAUUUUAUUUGGCGAAUUUUAAGCGUUAAUUUAAUCAUUUUCAGAGCUUCUUGAGAGUUUUGUAACAAGUUUGACCACCAUUUCUACUAAAAGCCAUGCCACAGGAUCCAAACUUGCACUCCAAAUGAUUUAUCUUAUUAUUUUAUUUCUUAGAAUCAACUAAUUUAAUUGCUUAUGUACAAUUAAAUAAAAACUAUGUAACUUUAACUUUUCCUUUUAAUAAAAUACUCUAAGGAAGUUUUUUUUUUCAAUACAACAAAACUUCGAUAAAUGAAUACUUGAUAAAUUAAUAAUUUUGGUUAAAUAAUAAUUUUGUCCGGUCCCGACUUGGGCCAAGUGGAUAAAAUAAUAUAGCUAAAUGCAUAAGAUAAUAAUUUUUAGAAAAGUCCUUAAUGACCCAAUAAAAAUAUAAAAUAAUAAUUCAUUAAAUAUAAUAAAAAUUUUAUAUACAAUAUAUAAAACUAAAGUGCUUUAUAGACAACCCUUUUUUGGAUUUUUAAUACAUGGUUAAAAUUUUAAAUCUAUUCUAUGAAUAUAUACGUAUUGAAUUUUGAAACCAUUAGCUAUUUUUUUUUCUUUUUGGUUACAUGAACCAAUUACUAAACUCUUUUUUUUACAUGAAUAUAUUUAACAUUAAUAUAUAUGUAUAAAGUGACGUCGAUAAUAAAUGUUAACUGUUCUAAUAAUUCUAGCAUCACAUGAUUUGAAUUUUUUAUGUUGAAUUUGGAGGUAAAAAAUAAUAAUUCAUCGUUUCUCAAGCCUUCAAUAACAUUGGGAUGGGUUGGGCAAUUGUCGACUAUAAGCAACACCUUUCUACCAAUCAUUCUAGCAUCAAACCAGCAAAGAAAAUCUUGAAAAAAUAAUCCAGUCAUCUAUAUUUUUCAAUACAUAAAACGUUAGAAUUAUUCUUUUUGCCUUCCAAUACAUGUUAAAAGUUUUAAUCUAUCUAAUGAAUAUAUAUACAUAUUGGUUGAAAUCAUUAACUUUUUUUUUCUUUUUGGUUACAUGAACCAAUUAAUUAGCUCUUUUUUUUUUGUUACAUGAAUCAAUUAACUUUGAUUCAUUGCGCCUACAUGCAUAUUGGGUUUUGAUAAUAAUAAAAACUCAUGCAUAAAGUAUGAAAUAUUCUUUAAAUUAAUAUAAAUUAAUAAAAUAUUCAUUUAUCAAUAAACUAAUAACCUCGAUAAAAUAAUAAUUUUUCGGAUCCCAAGAGUAUUAUUUUAUAGAUAUUUUACUAUAUUUUUUUCUUGAUAGUAAUUUCAAGUCAAUUCUUUAAUGAUUGUUGCUAGAAUUCUUCAUAACUUCAAUUUCACUAAUUAUUAAAAGGUUGUUUGAAGUCCAUUGUUGGUGUUGAAUCCAAGCAUCAAAAGGGGAUUAUAUCAUAUAUCCAACUUCAUCCAUCUUUAUUCAUCCUAACUUCGUCAAAUUUAAUUUCAUUUUUCCACAAAUCCAUCCAAUUUUUACUUCUUGUUCUUAAAAUCUAAAAUUUAUUUAUCUUUGAUUCUUACUUUUGUUUUUAAUUUUCAAAUUUCAAUUCCCUAGAAGGAUCUCCUUGCCACAAGCUUUCUUGCAUCUCAAGAAAGAUAUUUGUUCCAUGAGCUUGAGAAUUUUUCUUCUAGCUUUCUAAUUCUCAUUCUUUAAUUGAUUUUCCAACGUAUUAUCAAUAUUUAAUCUCCAUUCUCUGCUAGACUUUUCAAAGAUUAAUUGAAGCUUGCAUAUCAAGUCAUUAGAAAGUGUCUAACAUUAGGAUCACUUUGAGUUCAUUCUUCCAUAUUACAAUUUGAUCCAGGAUUCCACAUCAUGACCCAUGGCUCAAGGGCUACACUAACACACGUGUCAACAAAAUCACAUGAGGAACCUAUUUGGUAGUAUGUAUAUAUAGGCUAUUGCUCACCAAGAAUAAAGAAAACUCACUUUUUGUUCAUUAAACUCUUGACACUUGGCUUUGUGAACCGUCCAUCAUUGAAUUCCAUCUUCCCCUUUUCUUUGUCCUUCUCUUUCACACAAUCAACAUCAACAAAUUAAAAUCAAGUACCAUUAUUGAUUUCAUGGUUUCUUUCUUUACCAGGUUUCUUGAAAAUUCAAUGUCCAUAGUCUUGGUGCAUUGAUGGUGUUUAAAAGGAUGAGAGUAGUCACAUUUGUGCUAUGUUUUUGGGGACCUGUUCAGACAAUGGAUGAAAAUGUGUGUGAAUUGAUGGGUAUGAAAGUUGUGGUGGAGGUGUUAAUGGAAAAGGAAAGCUAACAUUUUUUAUCUUAGUAAUAAUUUGUUGCCUUGAAGCAGGUGAUGUUCAGUUGGUUAAUAUCCCUAUGGAGGCUAAUGCUAUAGCAAAUAUCGUCACAAAGGAAGGAUCUAAACUAGAAAAUAUGUUUGUUGGACGGUAGUAACUUAUAGUAGAGAGUUUUCUUCUUUAAUCAACUCUGCAGUGUUUUUAUGUUUCCUUUUUAUGUUGUUGUGUUUUUGGUACUUCAACCAAAUCCUCUUUUACUCAGAAAGAAAAACAUAUUGUAUUCAUCAAACGCUAUUAUGAAUGAUCACAUACUCCUUUUAAUUACUCAAUAGUAGAUUUCUUAAAUUUGGUCUGUAAUUGAUGUUGUUAGAAUAUGGCUUACAUGCAGACUAAGGCAAUUCGAUCCAUGCAAGUAGUAGCUGAAGCAUAUGCUACUAUUUUGUUACUUUUCAGUUAAUGUCUUGUUGCUUAGUUAGAUUAGAACUAAGUUAGUGACAUGCUUUAUGUAAUUUGGUGCCGAUAGAUUUGAUAAAUCAGCUUAACUAAUAGUGCAAGCAAAGUUUUUCUAAGUUUCAACAAUGUGUUAGUGGAGUUAGGUAUGUUUAGGUAACAUUUUCAUUUUUGACAAGCUGAUUGCUUGGUAUAUGUAAUGAUAUUUGCUCUUAAUGAAAUGAUGAUGAAUCUUUCUACAAAUUCUUCUUCUUCGUUUGGUUUUCUGUCAAGCAUUCUGUUCUUAUAACUUAAGCUUAAUUUCUUUGUUUGUUUAUCAAGAUAUUGUAGCUUAAAGCUUAAGUUUCAGUUGAAAUUUCUUAUUCUAUUUUCUAAGAUCCAAUAAUUGGUAUCGAGAGCUGAUUUCUUAGAGGACCUUUCUCUUUUCUAUUCUCAAAAGUAUUCUCUUCAUCAAGUUUCUCUCUAACACCACCACCAGUGUUCAGUGGCGAAGGCUACCACAUUUGGGUAGUGAAAAUGAAGACCUAGAGGUUGUCAAUGCUGAUGUUGAACCACCACCCUUGAGAGCUAACACCACGAUAGCUUAGAUCAGGCAGCACUCUGAUGACAGAGCCAAGAGGUACAACGUGUUGGAAUAUUUUCAAAUAUUUAUAGUAUCCCAAUAACUAUAAAUGAAUGGGUGUAAUUAAUCAAAAGAUAAAACUUUUGGUCAUUGGUCAAAAGUUAUAUCAUUUGAUUUUUUAAAAAAGAAUUAUAACUAUUCAAAAAAUAUUAUUUGAAUAGUUACAAAAUUAAAUGAAUAAUUAUUAUUAUUUAUUUAUUCAUAAAGACACCUAUUGAAAGAUGUCUCUAUGAAGAGACAUGAAAAUUCCUAUAAAUAGGAAUGGGAUUUCAUUUGGAAAUCAUAUCAACAAAUUCUAAUAUUAUUUCUUCUCUUCCUUCAUUUUCUAAUAUUAUUAGAUUAUUCUAUAAAGUAUUGCUGCAGAAAUCCUUUGUAGAAAUUGAGUUUUUGUUAUACAUUACUCAGUGCAUAGUGGACUAUUCUCGUCAGUGCAAAACGCAAAUAGUCAUUGGCUUCAUUGUAUCCUCGAGGUUAAUUUGCUUGGAACUCGUUUGCACACUGAAGAUAAGUGGGGGCGAAUAUAACCUUAAAGAUAGUGGCUUGAUACACGCCUUGGAGCCUGUCCUAUUUCUUCUUUUUCUUUUCGAGUUUCGAUCGUGUGUUCGAGUUUUUUCCUUACCGGAGUUUUGUACUAACAAUUUUAAGGUUAUAUUUCAUGAUGACUACCACAACACAUGAAAGUGGAACACUAAGGGAGUUGGCUUCCAACUUUGUUAAACUUGAUCGUUUUGAUGGUGGCAAUUUUCGACGAUGGCAGAAAAAGAUGCACUUUUUGUUAUCAACUUUGAAGAUUGCUUAUGUUUUGGAUACUCCAAGACCUGAAGAGAAUGAAAAUGAAUCAGUUGCUGCAACCCGAGAAAGACAAAAAUGGGACAAUGCUGAUUACAUGUGCAUGGGCCACAUAUUGAAUGGUUUAUCUGAUGGUUUGUUCGACACCUACCAAAACGACGUCACCGCUAAAGAAUUAUGGGACAAAUUGGAGGCAAGAUACAUGACCGAAGAUGUUACAAGUAAGAAAUUUCUUGUCACUCGUUUCAAUAAUUAUCAAAUGGUUGAUGGUCGUUCUGUUAUGGAACAAUUUCGUGAUAUUGAAAAGAUGCUGAAUCAAUUUAAGCAAUAUGAUAUGAAAAUGGAUGAAAUGAUUGUGGUAUCCUCCAUAAUAGACAAACUUCCUCCAUCUUGGAAAGACUUUAAAAGAAGUCUAAAACAUAAGAAAGAGGAAAUAUCUCUUGAGGCUUUGGCAAAUCAUCUUCGUAUUGAAGAAGAGUAUCGAAAACAAGAUCAGAACCUAAAUUCUGAAAAUGCCAAAGUACAUGUUACAGAGGAAGUACAGACUACUAAACCAUUCAAGAGAAAGUUCAAUCAGACUGAUAGAGCACCUAAGUUCAAAAAGAAAUAAAAGGGCUCAUGCUAUCAUUGUGGAAAGCCGGGACAUUUCAAGAAUGAAUGUCGAUUUUUAAAGAAGAAAUCAUCUUCUAAGGCUGAUAAUAACAAAAAGUUCGUUGCAAUGAUAUCUGAAAUUAAUAUGGCACAAGAUGAUAAUACAUGGUGGAUUGAUACCGGAGCAACCAAACAUGUGUGCAAAGACAAAAGCAUGUUCACAAAGUUCACACAAUGUGAAAAUGACAAUGUCUUAUACAUGGGAAAUUCUUCCACCGCAACAAUUAAAGGCAAAGGGUCUGUUGAACUACAAUUCACUUCUGGAAAGGUUUUAACCUUAAAUGAUGUAUAUUAUGUACCAGAAGUUAGGAAAAAUUUAGUGUCUGGAAGUCUGUUGAAUAAGUUUGGUUUCAAACUUGUUUUUGAGGCAGAUAAGUUUAUUUUGUCUAAGGGAGGAAUUUUUGUGGGAAAAGGGUAUAUGUAUGAAAGCAUGUUCAAACUUAAUAUUAUUAAUAAGAAUAAAAAUACUAUUUCUGCUUAUAUGGUUGAAUCAUUUUGUUUGUGGCAUUAUAGAUUAGGUCAUUUGAAUUAUAGAAAAUUGAAUGACAUGUAUAAAUUAGAUUUAAUUCCUGUUUUUAAUAAUAAUAUUGAAAAAUGCAAUACCUGUAUGUUGACUAAAAUUACAAGAAAUCCUUUCCCUAAGGUUAAAAGGAAAACAAAAUUGCUUGAUUUGAUACAUAGUGAUUUAUGUGACUUGCAUAAUACUCCUACAUUAGGUGGAAAGAAAUAUUUUGUUACUUUUAUUGAUGAUUGUUCUAGAUAUUGUUAUGUAUAUUUAUUGCAUUCAAAAGAUUAAGCGCUUGAUAAAUUUAAAGUUUAUAAAUCUGAAGUUGAACUUCAGUGUGAAUCAUUUAUCAAGUGCUUAAGAUCGGAUAGAGGUGGAGAAUACUAUAAUCCAAGUUAUUUUGAACUCACUGGAAUUGUCCAUCAAGUUUCAGCCCCUUACACACCACAACAAAAUGGUGUAGCUGAAAGGAAAAAUAGAGUCUUGAUUGAAAUGGUAAAUUCAAUGUUAUCAUAUUCAGGUCUUGGAUAGGGUUUUUGGGGAGAAGCUGUUCUAACAGCUUGUCAUAUAUUGAAUAGAGUUCCUAAUAAGGAAACUAAAAUAACCCCCUAUGAACAAUGGAAGAAAAGGAAACCAAACCUUAAUUAUUUAAAGGUUUGGGGUUGUAGAGCUAUUGUAAAAGUUCCAACACCUAAACGUAAAAAGUUAGGUGAAAGAGGAAUUGAAUGCAUAUUUAUAGGUUAUGCACAUAAUAGCAAGGCAUAUAGGUUCAUAGUAAUUGAACCAAAUGAUUCAAUUUCAAUUAAUACGGUUAUUGAAUCAAGAGAUGCUAUUUUUGAUGAAAAUAGAUUUAAUUCUAUAUCAAGACAAUUACAACUACAACAAUUGAUUCAUUCUUCAAAUGAGAAUGAGAUUCCAUUGAAACAAAUUGAUAAUACUGAUGAAUCUUGUCAAGAAUUAAGAAGAAGUAAGAGGAUUAAAAAGGUCAAAGAUUUUGGACCAGAUUUCAUUAUGUUUCUUGUAUAAGGAAAAGGUGAAAGUAUAUGCAAUAAGAUACCUUAUUAUUAUAAUACCGAAUCUGAUCCUAUUACAUUUGAAGAAGCAGUGAAAUCUCAAGACUCUGCUUUUUGGAAAGAAGCAAUAAAUGAUGAAAUGGAUUCAAUAAUGGGAAAUCAAACUUGGAUCUUAGUUGAUCUUCCACCAGGUUCCAAACCAAUAGGUUGUAAAUGGAUCUUCAAAAAGAAAAUGAAGGUCGAUGGAACCAUUGAUAAAUUUAAAGCAAGGUUGGUAGCAAAAGGUUUUACACAAAGACAAGGUAUUGAUUACUUUGAUACCUAUGCUCCAGUAGCAAGAAUUGCUACAAUUAGACUAUUAAUAUCACUUACCUCUAUAUAUAAUUUGGUUGUUCACCAAAUGGAUGUUAAAACUGCAUUUUUAAAUGGUGAAUUGGAAGAGGAAGUGUACAUGGAGCAACCGGAAGGAUUUGUUGUUCCAGGACAAGAGCAUAAGGUAUGUAAGCUUGUUAAAUCUUUAUAUGGGCUUAAACAAGCACCAAAACAAUGGCACCAAAAGUUUGACAAGGUUGUUUUAGCUAAUGGCUAUAAAAUAAAUGAAUCCGAUAAGUGCAUAUAUAGUAAAUUUGAUAAUGGAAAGGGUGUUAUAAUUUGCUUAUAUGUAGAUGACAUGCUCAUUUUUGGCACGGAUUUGGAACAAAUAGAAAACACAAAGAAAUUCUUGUCAAACAACUUUGCUAUGAAGGAUAUGGGUGUAGCAGAUGUUAUUCUUGAGAUUAAAAUAACCCGAGAUGAAAGCACUAUAGCUUUAUCACAAUCACAUUACAUUGAAAAUGUGCUUAAAAAGUUUGAUCUUUUCAACUGUAUACCAGCAUCUACACCCAUGGAUCCUCAAUUAAAAUUAGUAUCUAAUGCUGGUAGGAAAAUUGAUCAAUUGAAAUAUGCAAGUCUAAUUGGUUGUCUUAUGUACAUAAUGACUUGUACAAGACCAGAUAUUGCAUAUGCUAUUGGAAAAUUGAGUAGAUACACAAGUAAUCCAAGUAGUUUGCAUUGGCAAGCUUUAAAUAGAGUACUUAGGUACUUAAAGAAAACUAUUAACUAUGGAUUGUGUUAUAAUGGAUAUCCUCCAGCUUUAGAAGGGUAUUCGGAUGCUAGUUGGAUUACAAGUUUGGAAGAUCAUGCAUCUACUAGUGGGUGGAUCUUCAUUCUUGGUGGAGGAGUCAUUUCUUGGGGUUCCAAGAAACAAACAUGUAUUACUGAUUCCACCAUGGCAGCAGAAUUUAUUGCAUUAGCUGCUGCAUCUAAAGAAGCAGAAUGGUUAAAAAAUUUACUUUAUGAUGUACCUUUAUGGCUUAAGCCAAUUUCACCUAUUUCUAUCCGUUGUGAUAGUGAGGCUACUCUAACAAAGGCAUAUAGCCAAGUAUAUAAUGGAAAGUCUAGACACAUUGGAUUAAGAAAUAGUUAUGUCCGACAAUUAAUCUCUGAUGGAGUGAUCACUAUUAAUUAUGUGAGGUCAAGUGAAAAUUUGGCAGAUCCUUUGACAAAAAGUCUUGCUAGAGAUGCAGUAAAAAGGACCUCAAAAGGGAUGGGACUCAAGCCUAUUAAUUAGAGUCACCCAUGAUGGAAACUCGACUCAACGCUUGGUAUAACGUCAAGUCUUGAGUUCAAUGAGACAAAGUACAUCAUUAGUAUGUGACUGUUAGCACUAUAAAUAAAUCCAUCCUAAGAUUAAAGUGCUAGGUACCCGUAAUGAUAAGGGAAGGAUGAGUAAUGUACUCUUAAUGGACCCAUAACAUAAAUAUGUUAGAGUGUUAUAAUUACGGGAACACUUUUGAUGGGAUCUACCUAUGUGAGUGGAAGUGUGGCCGCUUCUAGGAGCUUAAGGGCUUGGCUCUGACAGCACUCAUGAAAAGAGGACAUAGACACAUGGCUAUAAUAGUGUCCCUAGAUACUAUGCAUUGACUGAUGUUGAAAUCAUUGUGUGAGAUGUGUUCAGUUAAUCAAAUGGAAUAGUUGGUUCAAAGCUUAGUCUACCAUACAAUUUCGAUUAACUUUAACAUGUUUUCACUAAGUGAAGGUUCAAUCGUAAGACACCUUUAUUUAUGCAAAUUGAUUUCCAAGAAUAUCAAAAUCUAAAUAUUUUGAAAAUGGGGGGAGAUUGUUGGAAUAUUUCAAAUAUUUAUAGUAUCCCAAUAACUAUAAAUGAAUGGGUGUAAUUAAUCAAAAGAUAAAACUUUUGGUCAUUGGUCAAAAGUUAUAUCAUUUGAUUUUUUAAAAAAGAAUUAUAACUAUUCAAAAAAUAUUAUUUGAAUAGUUACAAAAUUAAAUGAAUAAUUAUUAUUAUUUAUUUAUUCAUAAAGACACCUAUUGAAAUAUGUCUCUAUGAAGAGACAUGAAAAUUCCUAUAAAUAGGAAUGGGAUUUCAUUUGGAAAUUAUAUCAACAAAUUCUAAUAUUAUUUCUUCUCUUCCUUCAUUUUCUAAUAUUAUUAGAUUAUUCUAUAAAGUAUUGCUGCAGAAAUCCUUUGUAGAAAUUGAGUUUUUGUUAUACAUUACUCAGUGCAUAGUGGACUAUUCUUGUCAGUGCAAAACGCAAAUAGUCAUUGGCUUCAUUGUAUCCUCGAGGUUAAUUUGCUUGGAACUCGUUUACACACUGAAGAUAAGUGGGGGCGAAUAUAACCUUAAAGAUAGUGGCUUGAUACACGCCUUGGAGCCUGUCCUAUUUCUUCUUUUUCUUUUCGAGUUCCGAUCGUGUGUUCGAGUUUUUUCCUUAUCGGAGUUUUGUACUAACACAACGCAAUGUCUUGCAUUCAAAACAGUGUGUCAGACUUGAUUUUCACAAGGAUUAUAGCCUGUGAGACUCCAAAACAGGCUUGGGACAGGCUCAAAGAGGAGUUUCAAGGAACUGAAAAAACAAGACAGCAACAACUCUUGAAUUUGAGAAGGGACUUUGAAAAUUUGAGGAUAAAGGAAUCAGAAACAGUUAAGCAAUAUUCAGGCAGAAUCAUGGCCAUUGUAAACAGCAUCAGACUGCUUGGAGACCAAUUCAGUGAAGCCAGAAUAGUGGAAAAGAUUAUUUCAACCUUACUUGAGAGAUAUGAAGCCAAAAUCUCUUCCUUGGAAGAUUCAAGAGAUCUAUCAAGCAUCUCUUUGACUGGGCUAAUCAAUGCUCUUUAUACUCAGUAACAAAGAAGAGCUAACAAAUAGGAGGAGCAUUAAGAAAGUGCCUUUCAAGCCAGGAGUAGACCAACCUCGAGCACAUCUGGCUACAAAGUGAAGAAAACUUGGCCAGACAGAUCAAGAAGAGAUAGAGCAAGAAGAAUGUAUCCACCUUGCUCACAUUGCAAAAGAGUUAGCCAUACUGAAGCUAACUACUGGUACAAACCUGAUGUGCAAUGCAAGGUUUGUAAACAGGUGGGCCAUAUUGAGAAGGUUUGCAAAAAAAAGGCAAGCAGAAGCAAAACUAGCAUUAACAGCUUAGAACAGAAGCUCAAAUGGUAGAAGAGGGUUGUGAUCAGGAAGAACAAGUAUUUGCUAUCUCCUGCUCGGCUGCCAGAAGAAAAACCACAAAAGGAUGGCUGAUUGACAGUGGUUGCACAAAUCACAUUACACCUGAUGCUGCUAUUUUCAAGAGCAUUGAUAGAAGUUUCAACACAAAAGUAAAAGUGGGCAAUGGACACUACAUUAAAGCAAAAGGCAAGGGAGAUGUGUUGAUUAACACUUCUUCAGCUAUCAAACUCAUUUCCAAUGUUUUGUUAGUACCUAAAAUAGAUAGAAAUCUGCUAAGUAUUACUUAACUUGUUGAAAAAGGAUACACAGCUCUUUUCAAAGGAAAAGAAUUCCUGAUUAGUGAUCCAAGUGGAUCCAAACUCAUGUCAGUAACCAUGACUAACAGAAUUUUUAUUGUAGAUUGGAACAAACGUUCAGAUAGUGCCUACACAACUAUCUUAGAUGAGUCUAAACUGUGGCAUAAAAGAUUAGGCCAUGUCAACUAUAAGUCUCUACUUCAUUUGUCUAAAGAAGACUUGGUUGAAAAUUUCACAAUAACAAUUGAAAAAGAGGAUGUUUGUGAAGUAUGUCAGCUAGGAAAGCAAGCUAAACUACCAUUUCCUACAAACAUGGCUUGGAGAGCUUCUGCAAAGUUGCAGUUAGUCCAUAUUAAUGUAUGCGGCCCUAUAAAGACACAAUCCUUGAAUGGUAGCAGGUACUUCAUUCUUUUCAUUGAUGAUUAUUCAAAAUUAUGUUGGAUUUACUUCCUAAAGCACAAGUUAAAAGUAUCCGUGUUUUGGAAAUUCAAGGCUGCAACAGAAACUCAAUCAGGUUACAAGCUCAGAACACUAAGGUUAGACAAUGGCACAGAGUACACUUUAGCAAUGUUUCAAAGUUUUUGUGAAGAAUCAGGGAUCAAACACUAGCUCACAAACACCUACACACCUCAACAAAAUGGUUUCAGUGAGAGGAAGAAUGGAACUUUGAUGGAUAUGGUCAGAUGUUUGAUGUUUGAGAGGAAUUUGCCUAAAAGUUUUUAGGCUGAGGUAGUGAACACUGUAGUUUACCUUCAAAAUAGGCUACCAACCAAGGCAUUAUUUUAAAAAACACAAUUUGAGACCUGGUUUGGGUUCAAACCAUCAGUUUCUCAUCUAAAGGUCUUUGGUUGCAUAUGUUAUGCACACAUAACUGUAGUCAAGAGGGACAAAUUGGCAAAAAAAGACUCAGUGUAGCAUUCUAGUCGGCUAUAGCAGUGUCAAGAAGGGCUACAGAAUUCUGGAUCCUACAACUUACAUAGUUUUUGUGAGUAGAAAUGUUGUAUUUGAUGAGAGGUCAAGCUGGAAUUGAGAUAAAAGUGAACUAAAAUGUACUACUGAAGACUUAGUGACAAAGCCAACUAAAGUUGAUCAAAAUGAUCCUAAGAUGGACAUUGAUCAUGAGCUAGUUGGGGAACUAGACUACUAAAUAAAAUAUACAAGAGAGCAGAUGUGGCUACUAUUGAACCAACAUUCUUUGAAGAAGCUCAAGCUCAAGAACGAUGAAGGCAAGCCAUGCUUAAUGAAAUGAGCAUGAUUCAUAAAAAUCAGACCUGGGAGUUAGUUACAAGACCAGCUCAAAAAAAGGUCAUAGGAGUAAAAUAGGUGUUUCGAGUUAAGCACAAUACUGAUGAAACUUUGAACAAGCUGAAGGCAAGGUUAGUAGUGAAGGGAUUCAGCCAGAAGUAUGUGAUUGACUAUUUUUAUACAUUUACACCAGUGGCUAGGCUUGAUACAAUUAGACUACUGGUUGCAUUGGCUGCUCAAAAGCAGUGGAAAAUACAUCAACUUGAUGUAAAAUCUGCUUUCCUCAAUGGCUUUCUUGAUAAAGAGAUAUUUGUUGAACAGCCAGAGGGUUUUAAGGUUGUUGGUGAAGAAGACAAAGUGUUCAAGCUAAGAAAAGCCUUGUAUGCUUAAAACAGGCACCAAGGGCCUGGUAUGAAAAAAUUGACACCUACCUAGUAAGCUUAAAGUUUGAGAGAAGCAUUAGUGGGCCAACAGUGUAUGUGAAGAAGGAAGAUGAAGAAACACCGCUUAUAGUCUCACUGUAUGUAGAUGACUUGUUGGUAACAAGUGAAAACAAUGAUGAGCUAUUAGAUUUCAAAGGCAAAAUGGAGAGCAUGUUUGUUUGAAAUGUCAGAUUUGGGUGAAAUGUCCUAUUCCUUGGAAUGGAAGUAUUUCAGACUCAGCAAGGAAUUUUCUUAAGCAAGAAGGCAUUUUCUUUGAAAUUUUUGAACAGAUUCUCCAUGCACAAUUGUAAAGCAACUAGUACUCCAGUUGCUAUUAGAGAAAAGUUAACAAGCCAAGGUGAUUUUGAGAAAGUGAAUGAGUCAACCUAUAGGAGCCUAGUUGGAUGUCUGCUCUACUUAACAGCUACAAGGCCAGACAUAAUGUUUACAGUCUGUCUCCUAUCCAGGUUCAUGCACUGCUGUAAUGUGAACCAUUUUCAAGCUGUUAAGAAAGUUCUCAGGUACAUUAAAGGCAUUCUGAGCUUUGGGAUGAUGUUUACCAAGGUUGACAGCAUGAAACACCUUGGUUUUGCUGAAAGUGACUGGGCAGGAUCAAUAGAUGACAUGAAAAGCACCUCAGGGUAUCUGUUUACCAUUGGUUCAGCUAUUUUUUGCUAAAGUUCGAUGAAGCAAACUAUUGUUGCUAAAUCAACAGCAGAGGCAAAAUAUGUAGCAGCUGCAAGAGCUGUUAACCAAGCAAUUUGGUUAAGGAAGAUCAUGGCAGAUAUGAAUUUGUACCAAAGAGAAGCAACAGAGAUCAGAUGUGAUAACCAAUCUGCUGUUGCAAUAUCAAAGAAUCCAAUGUUUCAUAGGAAAACAAAGCAUUUUAAGAUCAAGUUUCAUUUUGUUAGGGAAAUGGAACAAUAUCGAGAAAUCAGACUAGUUCAUUGCAGUUUUAAAGAUCAGCUAGCAAAUAUCUUGACAAAGCCUCUUUGUAUGUCAAGGUUCAAGAAUUUGAGAGCCAAGUUGGGAGUUUGCAGCAUGCAAGCCAAGGAGAAGUGUUAGAAGAUGGCUUACAUGCAGACCAAGGCAGUUCGAGCCAUGCAAGUAGCAAUUGAAGCUUAUGCUGUUGUUUUGUUACUUUUCAAUUAAUGUUUUGUUGCUUAGUUAUAUUAGAACUAAGUUAAUGACAUGCUUGAUGUAAUUUGGUGCUGAUAGAUUUGAUAAAUCUGCUUAACCAAGAGUGCAGGCAAAGUUUUUCUAAGUUUCAACAAUGUGUUAGUGGAGUUAGGUAUGUUUAGGUAACAUUUUCAUUUUUGACAAGCUAAUUGUUUGGUAUAUGUAAUGUUAUUUGCUCUCAAUGAAAUUAUGAUUAAUCUUUCUGCAAAUUCUUCUUCUUCUUUUGGUUUUCUGUCAAGCAUUCUGUCAUUAUAGCUUAAGCUUAAUUUCUUUGUGUGUUCAUCAAGAUAUUGUAGCUUAAAGCUUAAGUUUCAGCUGAAAUUUCUUAUUCUGUUUUCUAAGAUCCAAUAGAUUUACUACCGUUGAACCAUUCCUCCCUAAUUUGAAUGUAAAAAAUAACAUUAAAUUCUUAUUAAUAAUGGUGCUGCCAUUGUAAUUCUUCCUUUGGAGUUUGGUGAAUACUUGUAAUCUUCUUCUUCUUUUCCCAACUUCUAUAUUCAUGGUUUGGAAUGUAAAGGAGGACAUCUCACAUGGUGUGAUAUAUGUUCAAUUAAGUUUUCCUUUAACUAGCUCCAACCUUAUCCCACUUUCAGAUGAACAACUAUUCCUACUACUUUACACACAAUUAUUUAAUUAGCAAUUAGAUGGUGCUCCAUUAUUAUCUUAUGAUUUCAAUUCGAUAAAUGCUAUAAACUCUAUUAAAAAUGCAAUCUGACCCUGGAAAAAGUAUAUUUAUUAAAAAUGAAAAGAUAACAGUGCUGGAAUCUUCUUCAACCGAAGUUCCAAAACAUCUAUCCCAUUCCCCUUCAAACACUUCACUCACACUUCAAAGUUGAAACAACACACAGCCCGUCAAUUACAUGUUUUACUUCUAUCAUUCUUUCAAACACCCCCAAAAUCCAAUCCAAGCGGUAGAUUGCAGCACAGACACGCAAUUGCACUAUAGACAAGGAUUUCUUGGACUGUUUUGAAGUUUGACCUAAAACAGAUUGUAAGCGGAAAUGAUCUUUGAACUAUGCAACGCAUCCCAUUCCAAUAAAAUCCCUUUCCUCCAUUGAAAUCAUCGAUUGGAGGUUGCACAAUAGUAUCUUCCGCGUCCCAUGUGGAAGACAUUUAGCCCGACUGUUGCAUGUUAGAGUUAAAAUAUUGUUACAAACAUUUGACUUGUUUCUUAUUUAAUUUUAAUGUAAAUCAUUGUCUUUAAGUGGAUUGCCAACCCUUCAUUAAUUCCCAGCUUUCUUGCUUUUCCUAUAUAUUCUAUGCCCUUGUUUCUCAUGAAUGUUUCCCUAGUUUUCUCAGCCAACAAGCUGAGGAAAAACCCAAAAUUUAGUCCCCAAUAAAGACCACUUCUUUUACGAGGAUUGCACCUUGAAAUCCUUUCAAUCUCCAACAAUGAGUCUUUAUCAGAAUUUGCUUCUUAUUACAGCAAUUUCUGCGUUUCUAAGUAUUGCUUCAGCUUGCUCUGAUGGACAGUGUAAGGUAGGGUCUUCAAUGGAAGAUGUACAUAUAUCCUUUCUUUUUUCUUCAAGUGCAUAUGAUUAUAGUUUUGAUAUAUUCAGCUGCUCGACGAAUGCUCUUCGGAUGGAGAUUGCGAGGCUGGACUGUAUUGUUUCGCUUGCCAGCAAGGAUUUUCAGGUUCAAGAUGUGUAAGAUCAACCGUUACAAACCAAUUCAAGCUUCUGGUGAGUGAUGAAAUUGAUAAGGCUUCUUUUGUUUGUGUAGCUCAUUCAGGGACCUUUCACUUUCAGUUGAGCCUGCUAGAGCAAGACAUUGAUGUCCAGCUUUUAGGGAAUUAGGCCAAAAUUUAUUCUCCUCCACAAUUUCUAACCCUUUUAUUAAUGUUUACAAAAACAACGCGUGCUAACUGCCAAAGAUUUUAAUAGAUAACAUAAUCGUUAAAGAUUUAAAUUCUCAUUUAUCAAUAUAUAAUUCUAUGCAUUAUCAGUGAAACACGUAAUACAGAUAAAUAAAUUUAAUCAAUUUACAAUUAUGUAUUAUUAGUACAUCAAAUAUAAAUUUUUCUGUAGAUUUUUUUGUUGGUGGAAAAUAACAGCAAAUUACGAUUAAAUUAAUUUUUUUUUUGUAUAUAUUUAAAAUUAUGUGAUGACGAUGGUAAAGUGUAUUCACUGUUUCAGGUGUGGCCUGGGUUUAAAUAGUACUAGAUGCUUUUGUUGUUCGGGCUUUACUCAAUUUAUAAGUUAUGAAUACUUAUAUAUGUAGUCAUAAAAAUUAAAAGAAAAAUAUAGUUUACAAUUAAAUAUGAUUUUAAUGAAAACACGUCUGCAAUUGCAAUUUAAAUCUCUCAUCAGAUAUUAGCUAUAACUGUGUAUUGGCAGUUAUAUUCGUAUAAUGGACAUUUUAAUUCUUGUGCGGUUACUUGUGGGGUGAACAGAAUAACUCUCUUCCUUUCAACAAGUACGCAUUCUUGACGACCCACAAUGCAUAUGCCAUCGAUGGAUAUCCAUUGCAUACCCCAGUUCCUCGCGUUACAUUUACCAAUCAAGAAGACAUGAUCACCGAUCAGCUCAAUGUAUGUUUCCCAGUUCACAUUCUAGUCCUAUCUAUGAUCUUUAAUUUCUAUUUGAUUAACAUAAGCCUAUAGCUGAGUUGCAGAAUGGAGCCAGGGCAUUGAUGCUUGACACUUAUGAUUUUGACGGAGAUGUGUGGAUGUGCCAUUCAUUUGGCGGACAAUGUCAUGACAUUACUGCGUUUGUAAAUUUAAUUUUCCCUAUUAGUUACCCAUAAAUAUUGCCCUUUUCAUUUUCAACAUCUUCUUUUUUCCCUUUGGAUUGGCCUACCAGGGACCAGCUAUAGAUUAUUUGAAGGAAAUCGAAGCGUUCUUAUCUGCAAAUACAGAGGAAAUUGUUACAUUAAUCUUGGAAGAUUAUGUUGGUCCAAAUGGGUUGACAAAGGUGUUUACUGAUGCUGGAUUGAUGAAAUACUGGUUUCCAGUGUCAAACAUGCCCAAAAAUGGUGAAGACUGGCCUCUAGUCAGUGACAUGGUGGCUAAUAACCAAAGACUACUUGUCUUCACCUCAAUUCAGUCCAAGGAAGCAAGCGAAGGAAUUGCUUACCAGUGGAACUACAUGGUCGAAAAUCAAUGUAAACCAUAUAUAUAUAUAUAUCCAUUAUUAAUUAAGUUUUAGACAUCGAUAUGUUUAGGAAAAGCAGAAAGUCGAGAUAACACAUUGUGGUUGAAUGCGAAAUUGGCAGAUGGGGACGGCGGAAUGCAAGCAGGAAGUUGCCCGAACAGGGCAGAGUCGUCAGGUCUAGACGACAAGACUAAGUCGUUGGUAUUGGUAAAUUACUUUCAUUCAAUGUCAAGCAAAGAGAAGACAUGCGAGGACAAUUCUGGAGAUCUUAUUAACAUGCUUCGUACUUGCUAUGCUGCUGCUGGUAACCGUUGGGCUAACUUUGUUGCUGUUGAUUAUUACAAGGUUCCUUUGUUCACUCUUUAAGUUGCUAAUAGUUUCUUGUUGAUUCAGCUCAUUUUCUUUGAAACUUGAAAAUAUUCUUGUUUUGGUUUGCACAGAGGAGUGAAGGAGGAGGAUCAUUCCAAGCUGUCGAUACUUUGAAUGGGAAGCUGUUAUGUGGAUGUGAUGAUAUUCAUGCAUGUGUGGUAAGUCAAAAUUACAUUUUGCAAAUGAAUGUAGUUCUUAGAUUAAUACAAACCAUAUUUUUAUACUUAUUUCGAGCUCAAUUAUUUGUGUCUAAUCCCACUCUCAAAUAUCUGCAGACCUUCGAAGUUAGGUAGAUAGUAAAAAAAUGUGGUUUGUUUUGUGAUUGCAGGUUGGAUCAACUUCAGGCGCCUGCACACCAUAAGGUGGAUUCUAGGCAGAGGAUGUGGCACAAGAUUUUAGACUACAUCAACAUUUUAAGCACUGAAUUCACUCUUAUCGUAAAAGUACAAGUUGUAGACAUAUACAUAAAUAUAUGUAUCUAUGCAGAGUUCCAUGAAUUUAAUAAAAUUUACAAAUGGAAUUUCAAUCUAGGAAUUUCAAUCUACUCUUAUAGCAAAUUUUUUCUCUAAUUGUCUGCUCUUAUACCUCGAUUUCUUUUUUUAUUAAUUUUUGGUUUUAAAAUACGGAUGAUAAUAUUACGACACUCACCAUUGAUGAUGGGGAGGAGGAGCCAUGGCAGAUUAAUUUAAGGGAAGUGGCUACUGCAUUUGCCUAUGAGUAAGAACAUGAUUUGAUGGAUAGUUUUUAGUGGUGUGCAUUAUUAGUUCAUGCGCAAUAUGUUAGUAAAUAUUUGGCCUCCAAUUGAGGGUAUCAUAAUUUCAUAUUGGGGAAGAAGAGAUUUGAUUUUUAUUUAGAGCCCACAAAAAAUUUAUGUGGAAAGAGUGAAAAGGAGGAUGAUGGACGUUAAACAUAUAUCUGAUGUUAUUUCAUCGAUAAGUAGAGAGAUGAUGUAAGUCUUAAUAUACUUUGUUGGUUUGUGGAUACAAAUUUACAAUUUACUAAGUAGAUUAACAUCCUAAUGAAUUAACUGACAUCUCUAUGUUAAGUAAACAAUAAUUGAACUUAGUAAAAAUGCUUGCAAAUUCCUUUAAUUUUAUACCACAAUAAAACUUAAUAUAAACCAACAUUUUAUUUGGCAUAAUAAAGUAAUUAAAUUAAAAAAUAGAGGAUAAAAUAAUUGAAGGGCAUUUUUAAUUCUAAGCCUUUAAAAUUUUGAUUUUCCAAUUUAACAUAGGCUCAAGUUUAGAGCCUAAAUCACAGGCAUUGAAUAAGUCGUCAUUACCUGCAAAUAUCUUACACGUCUCUCCUCCCUCUUCCUUCACUCAUGCCGACUCACUCGUUUCUCACAUGCCUAACCUCACUCUCCCUCCAUAAAUAUUCCCUCACAACCUCUCCCUUUCAAUCAAAUCCCCAACCUACUCUCUCUCAAAAACAAGAACAAAUACAAAACUCUCCCUUCAUCUUUUGUUUCUUUUUCUUUAGCAGUGAUAAUGGUUGAGCCUGCAACAGCGACCCAAGCAGCAGCUCCGGUGAUGCCUCAGCUCAAAGAUGAGCUUGACAUUGUGAUACCAACUAUAAGAAACUUGGACUUCCUUGAGAUGUGGAGGCCAUUUUUUCAGCCCUACCAUCUCAUCAUUGUUCAAGAUGGCGAUCCUUCAAAAACCAUCAAGGUCCCUCCUGGUUUUGACUAUGAGCUUUAUAACAGGAAUGAUAUCAACAAGAUUCUGGGUCCCAAGGCUUCUUGUAUUUCCUUCAAGGACUCUGCUUGCCGUUGCUUUGGUUACAUGGUGUCUAAAAAGAAAUACAUUUUUACCAUUGAUGAUGACUGCUUUGUAAGUUCUUUUGAUUUUCUUUUUUUCUUAUGGAUCUUUACAUUGCUCUGUUUGGAAAUUUAGAUACUUUUGAUUUUUCUUUGGGUGUCUCUCUUUAAGAAUAUAGGUAAAUUACCAUUCCUACUAUACCAAACUAUGGAUCUUUUUAUGAUUAGGUUGCUAAGGACCCAUCAGGCAAAGCAGUCAAUGCACUUGAACAACACAUCAAGAACCUGCUAUGUCCAUCAACUCCCUUCUUCUUCAACACCUUGUAUGACCCCUUCAGAGAGGGUGCUGAUUUCGUCCGUGGAUAUCCAUUCAGUCUCCGUGAGGGUGUCCCAACUGCUGUUUCUCAUGGCCUGUGGCUAAACAUCCCAGAUUAUGAUGCACCAACCCAACUUGUGAAGCCUCUUGAGAGGAACACUAGGUUUGUUGAUGCGGUUCUCACCAUCCCAAAGGGCACCUUGUUCCCCAUGUGUGGUAUGAAUCUGGCUUUCGACCGUGACUUGAUCGGCCCUGCCAUGUACUUUGGACUCAUGGGAGAUGGCCAGCCAAUUGGUCGCUACGAUGAUAUGUGGGCUGGCUGGUGCAUCAAGGUAUGUUUCCCAUUGGAGUUUAGUUAUUCGUAUUGCUUUAUGUUUGUUGUGCUUGAUGAAUGUUUAUGGUGUAGGUGAUAUGUGACCAUUUGGGAUUGGGGGUGAAAACGGGUCUACCAUACAUCUAUCACAGCAAAGCCAGCAACCCCUUUGUGAAUCUGAGGAAGGAAUACAAGGGUAUAUUCUGGCAAGAAGAGAUCAUCCCAUUCUUCCAACAAGCUGUGCUUCCAAAAGACUGCACCACUGUUCAAAAGUGCUAUGUUGAACUGGCUAAGCAGGUGAAAGAAAAGCUUAGCAAAGUUGAUCCCUACUUUGACAAACUGGCUGAUGCAAUGGUUACUUGGAUUAAAGCCUGGGAUGAGCUCAACCCUCCUACUGCAGGAUCUGUUCCAAAUGGGAAAGCGGCUUAGACAAUUUUCUAUCACAUCACAUUUAUUAUAUAUAUUAUUCUAUUCAACACAAAGCUGCACCAUUAUUUCCCUACAGUUUAAUUGAACUUUAAUAAUUUUUGUUUGUUUUUUUAUUAUUUAUUUAUCUUCUUCCUCACUAGAUUUUGGCGGGAUAUAUUAUGUAAUUUUAUCAACUUUAUGUUAUAAAGUUGCAGACAUGAAUAACAUGUGUUAGUUGAAUUAGCAGUUCUUCCAUUGAAUUAGCAGUUCUUCCAUUUAACUUUUACAAUAAUAGAUUCUAAAUUUAUACUUAAAAUGAAAAUUUUUCAUAAAAAUAUAUAGUUUAAUUUCGACCGUGUACAAAUACUUUGCAAUUUAUUUUUGAAACUUGUGUGGUCACUUAUUGCAUGUUUUACCAGCUUAGAAUCAGAUUUAUUUUUAGCUUGAUUUUCAAGGGAUAACCUGUUUCUAUAAAAAAAUAUAAUAAUAAAAAUACAAGUAAAGAGCCCAUAUAUAGAUAGAUGGAUGGCUUCUCUGCAUGUCAAAAGAAUAAAAGCUUUGGAUAGAAAACCUUAUUGUAAAGCCCAAAUGUUAAUUUUAUGGAUUAAAGAACACAAUGAAUAGAACCAAGUGGAACCGAAUAUUAUUAUGCAUUGCAGAGAAUACAUGUUUUCCUUGAACAGCCUUUAGUUAUCCUGGUCAUUAAAUCCUACCCCUAUAGCUUGAUCCCAUUGUGAACAAAAACAUCAAUAUUCUAAUAUCUGAUUUUCAGAAACCACAGAACUGAAAUAAAUUGCUUCAAAACUUAAAUUAGUUUUCGAACAGAAUACAUUUUGCAAAACUGAUCAUAGUCGCACGACCAUGAAUUUCAGCCUCUAUCAAACUAAGAUAAAUUUUAGGCGAUGACGAGGCACUAACAAUCAGAAUGAUACCAACUUGGCUUGACUACCCUCCUAAUCUAUGAUUCUGCAAUCGCAUCAUUGGACUUUUCAAUCUUUUGACGCUUGGCAUCGCGCUCACUAUCUAGAUCGUUGAGACAUCCAUUUACUGCCUCUUCACCCAAAAGAGAUAUGUGCUUGCUGGUGAUUUGGCGACCUGCCCUAAGCUUUGGCCCCCAGUGCCUUUCAGGAUUCGGGAGGAAGCGAGCAACCUUCUUAGCUUGUGCCUUGCUAAGGGAUGCAACAGCUCGAGCAAAAUUUGCCUGCCAAAGAGAAGUUGAGAGGUGUUAAAAACAACAUUUCCCACCUUCAAUCUCAAGUUGUAGAUGUUUAAGAUAGGGAAUGCGUGUGUUCACAUGCAGGAACAUGAAACAAGGACUGCGGAUACAUAGGGAAAGAAGCAUGCAACUAAAGAAAGUGGCAUCAAAAACAUACUUGAAGAACUGGUUCUUUGGCAAGUAUCACACUUCCAGGCUGAUCACCCGGUUGAGCUUUCACUGGAUGAUUUUUAACCUAUAGAGAAAACAAAAACUUAAGAAACCAUUUAAUCACGUCUAUUAACUGCACUAGUGCACGGAACAUUAAGGAGUUCAAAAGUCCCAACAAUUUAAUCAAAGUUUAGUCACUUGUACUUUCUUCAGCUGCACACCUACACAAAUGGUGGAAAUAAAGAAAAAAACAGAAAGUAGCCAUACCCAGCAGCGCAUUAUGUCCCAAAUGACAUCCAUGGGAGCAUCUGAUUUUAGUCCCAAUGGAUUUACAUGAGUUCCAGAAAUUUGAUAUCCUGCAUUGAUGACAGCGGAGCGGAAAAUAACUGCAGACGGGGAAGUGCAUUUUAGUGUAGCACAGAGGUUGUGCAGACUCAAAAAGAGAGGAACAUCAGGCAACUCCUGCAAAGAAAUUGCAAGUCAGGUAACAAACUUAAAAGUAUCUCUAAAAAGAAAAAGAUUUCUUGCUCAAAUAGGUUUAGUCAUAUAUAUUGCAUGAAUUUUCGACAUCUGAUUGUUACAAUUUACAUAACCAUCCUAACAUCUAAUGACAUGUUUCUCUAAAAGGUUGUAGCUAAACUUUCAUGAUAGAAAUAUUCAAGUCAAUAGUCAAUAUAGAGCCUUACUUUUUAUAGUUUAGCAUAGAAAAUGAGAUGGCUCAGAGUUACACAGCUAAAACCUGAGAGGAACUAGUGUUCUAAGGUUGAGAAAGAGUCGCCCAAAUGAAGUUACUAAGGAAAAAAAUGAAUACCUCCGAAAUUGUAGUCAAUACAGCAGAGAUGCGUUCAUAGGCCGGAUAACAAUUCUUCAUUGAUUUUACAUCUGCUAGUAUGCUAGUUACCCAAUCCUGAUCAUGGAUGGGAGCAGACCAUAUAGGUCCACCCAUGUUAAAUUUCUUCCCACAGUCACUACACUCUUGAGGGACAACAGGUGCAAAGCCUGGGAGAUACCUCACACUGGUAUUCUGGAAAUUAGAAGGUCAAUGCAAGAUAAAAUUAUUGUGCAAUUCAAAAUAAAGCCAAGUAAAAAAUAAUAGCCAUUGAUGUACAAAGCACAAAUAUGUUGCUAUGUUCCCAUCUUUGAAACAUCAUUACAUACAGUAAAUAACUUUGAUACAUCUCUUUUAAUUAUGUCUGAACAUUGAAAUUAUACUCAAAAAAUAAAAUUAAAAGCAAGCUUCGAUUAAUUAAGAUAGAAAGGAAACCAAAUAUCUUCAUCUAAAAUAAGCUAACUAGAGGCAUGAACAUGUCUCAAAUAGCAACACUAAGCAAUUAAAUGCUCAUACAUCAGGAUGUUAUUUUAAUGAUUUCACAUGUGCACAUACACUAUGACUCCACUAUGUAGAAGCCCAAAUGAUGUAAGCCAUGUAUAUGUUAAAAACAAGAAGGAGCACCAAAUGCAUGGUAAAUCAGGAAGCACACCUUAGAAACAGUUCUCCCAAUAGGCUGUAGAUGAAAAGAAUCACAACCAAUGCAUUGAUAGACAUAUGAGAGCUUAAGGGGAGUAUUCUUCAUUGCACUUGCAGAACUGCAAUGAAUGAAUUAGCCUUCUGUCAACAUUAAGUGAGGGCAACAUUACUUAAUAAACUAAAUUAAAAGAAUAAGCCACCUACGUGUAUACACGAACAAAAACACGGACAUAAAAGUCCAUCUGAACAGAGAGAACAGGAACAAUAUAACGCUUGUACCGGUUCGCAUGACUCUGCAUUCAAGAAAGAAGAAAUACAAAUUAUGGAAAAGAAGAAGAUUGUUGUUGGCAUUUACUUCAAAAAGAAAGUUUUUGGCUUUUUGUUUAGGAGAACAGAUUUCUAUGACAAGGUGGUAUAGUUACCGGUAUCUUUUCUAAUGUCCUUCAUCAACUAAAAGUAGUUCAAGUGAAAGAAAAAAGAAGUCCUAGAAGCCACAUUCCUUUUGCAACAGAUCAUUAUUGUUUUCUAUAUCAUGUGUUUCAAAUGCUAAAAGAAAGGACAUCAAACUACCUCAAUGCAGGCCAGGAGGAUCCUCAAAGCCAUUUCGUGGCAAUAUUUCCCUCUCAAUGGGUAUGAUCCAUAUCUGUUUCCACAUGCAGUUACAGGAUGAGCUUAAAUAUUCAAGAACAUAGUUCAAAUGAAGGCAAAGCUACUACAAUCUUACUUGGAAUAGCAAACCUCCCCAUUACCCCCACAAAGGACUGCCAUAUCAGUUGCAGUGCACAUCAGCAUGCCCCCAUCCACAACAGAUUGAACUGCUGAGUCCAGGAAUACAGAAGGUGAACCAUAAGGAUCAAGAUCAACCUGAAAAAACAGAUUUAGCAAUAAAGAGCAUAAGCACAGCUCCCCUUGAAUAGUGCGGCCAAGAAACAAUACAUAUUUCCCAUUAAUUAUGAAAUGUGGAUAACAAAUAACAGAAACAACAGACAAAUUCCCAAUUAAUUAACUCACUUCUCUUUUACCAAUUAUAAAAUGGUAUAGACAAAAUGAAUGCAUAACAAGAACUAUUUCUACAGAAAACAGAAAUUUUCUACAAAAUUUUAUUUAAGCAUACCAGACCAAAUACUUAUGCAGCAGUUGAGCAUACAUGCAGAUUAAGAUGUGCAUAUAAAGUCGUUUUAUUAUAAAAUAACAGAUCCCGUACCACAUCAAAUUCUUUUGGGUGAGUAAGCAUGUAAACACGAGCAUCAGCAAGAUGUGAUUCCACUUUUGAACAUGCCACAGAACCAUUAAAUUUUAUGUUCCGCUGGCAAGCUUCAACUGCCCCUGCAAGUAGACACAUGGUAUUGGGAAAUCUAAGAAGCAAGUAAACCAUAUAGGAAAAAUCUGUUUGUAAAUAGUAAUAUAAAGCAUGAAAAUGCAUAGGAAUCAGAAAGGCAGAAAAUGAAGGUCCUUCUAGGUCCAAAAUAAUCCUUCAAAUAGCAUAUCAUAACAUCCAAAAUACCUUUAUCGUUAUCUAAGGCAACAACUUGGCCAAUCCCUUCUACCUCCCGAGCAUAUCUCAGAGCCCUUAACCCAGAUGCUGACAAGGCCUAUAUAAACACCAGAAAAGGCAUGCAGAAAAUGAAACGACUAGCAUUGGGGGUAAAAGCAUAUAUAUUUACAUUGGAAAAACAAAAGAUUGUGGAAUAACCUCUAGAACUCUUGGUGGUUUGAGCUUCCCCCGAACUUUUCCUUCUAUCUUAACUGGUUCUCCAGAUGCAGUACAUGGAUCUUCAUUAGGCUUCUCUUCAAGCCCUUGUUCAUUGGAUUUUUGGAUAUUAAUAUCGCAGUCAUUAGGUUUAUCUUCUACAUCAGAUGAAGAACCGUUCUUUUUGUUUCUUUUAGACAACAAUGCCUCAUGUUCCUGCCUCCGUUUUGAUAUAAAUGUCCUCAGGACAGCAAUGGACAUGUCUCUGUUGUUAACCUAAUUAUCAAUAGUGAAUAAUUAGGAUCCCUACUAGAGAAUAAGAACCAAGCAGUAAACAACUAACACUAAAAUUAUACAGACGAGGAAACAAUAUCCUACUCAAAGCAUCUAAAAACAGAGUACACACUAUACAGGUAUUCAGUGAAAGCAUUAAUGAGAGAAAAUUGUACAGUUCCUUUCUUUUCUCGCCCUUUCCUAUUAGCCAAUCACGGCGCCAUUAGUUCACACUAUUGAAAAGAGCUUACAAAUUUCAGAAAUAGAUUAACUUAAACCACCCUGCCAGUAGUCUUUCCAACAAGAAAUCAUCAAUAAUACAGAAGUUUUUAGUCAAACCAAAAGCUUCCGAUUAACUAAAAGUAAAACAUGAAAAAAUCUAACCACAAAAACAAUGAAUUCAAUCAAUUUUUCACCGUCAAUCAAUUCAUUCAAUUAAGAAAAAAGUCAUAUUUCUCAUGAGAACCCAUAAUUAGUUCCCCUUAAAACAACAUAUUCGUCGCAAUAACGAGAAACUUUCAAUAAAAUAAAGGCUAAACCGUCGACUAAAACCCAUUAACAUUCUAAUAAGGGAUUCAAUAAAAUAAAAUGAAGUGAAACCUGAGUUUUGUUGAAAAAGACUUCAUUUUUAGCAUGCAUAAGAAUCUCAGCUUCUCCUUCCUUGAUGAUAGUGUAAUCAUUGAGAUCCAUCGACAUUGUUUCUCCUUUUACAUGCAAUAACAAAGUUAUGGCUUCUUUUCCUUUUCCUUUUGUAGUUAAUUAUUUUCUUUGAAUGGUUUUGAAGAACAAAUUUGAGUAGCAAAUCAAAUUCUUAUUUUAUUUUAUUUUUUGGCUUUAAAAUUGAUUUCGGUGUUUGAAAGUUUGUGAAAGCUGCAAAUUCAUAAAAAGGAGGAGGCUUGUUUUUGUUUAUACGCGUGCUUUGAAGUUUGAACUCUGAAUAUAGGAUACCAAGUCCCACCGGAAACCCUAUUUUAUUUUUCUUUUAUUUUUAUUUUAUGUUUAAUUUAAUUUAAUUUAAUUUGUUGAUCUUUCUUAAACCCUAGAGGCUUACGUUCAUAGUGUAUCCAUUGGUAAUUCUUUGCUAACAUGAGCCCUGUACUGCUAAGAAAUUAUCCCAUAAUAAUUCGAUCAUAUCUAUUACCAAACAAAACUUAAAUUCAUAUCUAGUGCACUAAAAUUAAGAUUUAGCUAAUUUAUGGUUGAAAUAUUUUAUUAUAUUCCUAAACCUUUCAUAAAUUAUAUUUUAUGUGUGGGCGUUUGAUCGAAUUGAGUAAAAAGAUUUCGAGUUAAUCAAGUUAACGAUUUAUAUUUUAUUAAUUUGAGUCGAGUGAAAUUAAAUUCGAAUUGAACCGAAUCAAGUGAAAUUGUUUGAGUUAAAUUAAAAAAUUAAACAUGUCAAAUUAAAAUUUUAUUACAGUAUAACUAAUUUCAUAUUAGAGCAUAUAAAUUUGAAACCAUAUAUAUUUGAAAACUUAUUUAGGUGCCAAAAUUAUUGUUUAGAAAAAUUUUAAAUUUUUAACUUUCUUUAUAUAUUUUUUUAUAAUUUUUUAUAAUUUUUUAAAGAUAUAAAUUUUGAAAUUUUUAUAAAUAUUUUAAAUUUUAAAAAUAAUUUUAAAUUUUAUUUUUUUAUUUGAACUAUUUGAAUUAUUCAAGUUAUUCUAAUUGUAGAAUUCAACUCGAUCCGAACUCGAAACUCGAAUUACUUAUUCAAAUUAACUCAAUUAACUCGAAAUUCAAAUUUUUUUGAACCCUAAAAUAUAUUGCAGUACAAUUUUUAUCCUCGAUUUAUAGUUCAAUUUUUAUAUAUUUUUUUAUCAAGUUGGGAGUUUAUUAUUAAAAAAUAUAAAAAAAAGGUUAAUUUUUAUAUCUUUAAAACUCAAAAAAGAUUUAUUACUAAAUAAUAAUUGAGAUCAAAUUUGAGUAUCAUUUCUGUUUAUUCUUGUUACAUUGUCUAAAUCUAACAAAACCAAAGCAAAGAAGUUUAAACUUGUAUCGUAACUACUAAAUGCUUCAAACUUUUUAGUGUAAUUUUAUUAUUUGUUACAUUAUAAAAAUAUUAAACCGAAAAUCAAUCUCUUUAAAGAGUUCCUUAUAGAGCUUAUGCUGCAGUACUAAUGCAAAAGCAGGAGUUGAGCAGAGCAGUUCAAAAUACAAAAAGAAACAGAAUGAUUGUUAGGGGUGAAUGUUUGUUUGUAAGCCUUCCAAUUAUCAAGCCAUACAAACUUUCAAGUUCUACCAACUCAUACUAAACAAGUCUGUUAUUUGAGUUCAUGUUUUAGUUUUUCUGCUAUACUGUUCUAACCAAUACAAUGGAUGGAUUUUGAACUGAUUCACAAUUAUCCUACAAUUCUAAGGUUGGUAAUGAAGGUCACAACACGAAAUUCGUAGCGAGCAGUCAGCUCUUCAUAUUUUUGAUGUCAUCCUGAUCGUCAAAACCACCACCAUGAAGAUGAUGUUCCCUGCAAAUCCAAAGAACAGACUGACAUGUUACGCAUUGAAACAAAAAGAUAAAGCAGAGAAUGAGUAUGAAAGUGGAAAUUUUACACAAAGGAGAAAUUAGGCAGAAUGAUGCCCAAAAAGGAAAACAGUACCUCAGUCUCUCGCAAAGACGUGCUAAAGCAUCUGCUCCAGUUCGAGAAGCAACAUCCCCUAUCUGUGCAGCAUUUGAUAAGGUCACACACUCUGCAAGCCUAAACUCGCAAAGUUCUUUCAAAGAACAUGCAUCAGUCAAUACAGCGGAAUGACCACCCCCAGCUGCUAGUUUUCGCACUUCACCAACGCACCUACAAUAUAGAAUUGUCAUCUAAACAGAACACCAUAAAGUUGCAAAAGCCUAUGACACAAUAAUUUGGCUAUAUUCCUACCAGUCAACUGGUGAAGGAUACCAUGCAUAAAUAGAUUUCUGAUUUGCUGCCUGACCAUAAUUAUUGUAGCCCCAUCCAUUAAUUCUUCCAUCUCUCAAACAAAUAAGUGUGUGAGAAUGUCCACAAGCAACAAGCUGGACACCGGUGGGAACAACCAAAGCAGGGAUAUUACGAAAGAAUGAAUCAUUAGGGUUGCAUGAAAAGAAUCCUGUUUGAGGGCCAAGGCCUAGCUGUCCUACUUGACCACCACCCCACGCAUAAAGUGCUCCCUUUGAAGUUAAAGCACAUGUAUGUACCCCACCACAAGCAACAUCCUUAAUGCAUAUACCAUCCAGAGCAACUAUUCUCCUUGGCAGGAGCUCUUUAUCACCAGAUUGAAGGGAACUGUGUCCAAGUUGACCCAUGUUUCCUAGACCCCAAGUAUAGCUGAAAUAGAAAAGCAGAUAAUCAUCAAUGCUAAUAUCUUUGUUGAUGAGGAAGAAUUCUCAACAUAGGACUCUUAACAUGAGAUGACCAACAUCUGUUUUGAUGUAGUGCAUGAAUGCAUGGUGAUAUACAUUAUGCAUAGUGCUUGUAGAUAUGUUGCAGACUGGAACAUGCAGGAAUUUUAGAUCCUAAAACACCAUAAAUAAACGCACCAUGCAAGGAACUAAUGUGGAGAUAGCAAGCUCCAAGAAAAGCCUAACAGGAAACUCAAGUAUCAGAUAUCUUCAAAAUCUAUAGACCACCAUAAUUGGAAAAUACAUGAAAACAAGCUCGUACACUGAAAGCGUGAAGUCAUUCUUUUACUUCCUUUAAAGUACUAGCAUUCAUUUCAUGCUAUAGCCUGAGGUAAUAGACUUGCAUAUCACAAUCCAUCUCAUUUCCAUUGCAUCCCAUCUCCUCCUGGCUAAUGUUUGAAUUUCACAUGAUAAACUAUAUCCAAACACUCAUAUAAAGUAACUAAGUUGUCUAAGGAUAUACAAAUUGUCAACCCCACCCCCCUCCUCUUUUUUUUUUUUCUUGGCAAAUGGAAAAAAAAGUAAGAGAUAGUAGAUCUGCUAAGAUGCAAGACUGUUAAACCUGGAAAUAUAUAAACUAAAGAAUUAUGUCUCAAGGUGCUUUGAUGGUAACCCUAUCCCCUUAAAAGUUCUUCUACUGCUUUCUUUUCCUCCUCAAAAGCCAAAAUUAAGGAAUGGAAUAAAAUCAAUCAUUUUUCUUCCAUCUGUACAAGCAGGUACACCCUUUCAACAACAAUUCCCCUCCAACUGGAACUUAAUAACCCAAGUGAUGUGGAUAACCACAAUUCUUAUACUUAAACACAGAUCUUAUCUCCAUCUAGUAAGUCCUUUGGAUAACUUACACCUCGCCUUUUUCAGAAACAGCUGCAGUGUGGUACUCCCCACAUGACACUUGGGUAAUCUUCACAAGCUCAGGAGCCUCAUCCAGGAAUUUUGCAUAUGCAUUUAUCACACGAGCACCCUGUAAUCCUUCGGAAGUAAUGCCUCUGCCUAGCUGACCAUACUCAUUAUAGCCUGGUUUAUCAGAACAGUGAUAAAUAUCAAUUAAUAGGUGGCAUGAAACUAGCAUGAGUUCUUAAGUUUCCUUCCUAAAUCUAGGUUCUGUAAAGAAUGAGGCCUAUAGGCACAUUAAUCGCUUGCAACAAACCUCAAAUAUAUUUGCAAACUCCAGUCAUUAAAUAAAUCAUGAUAUUGUGAAGUAGUAAAGCUUACCCCAAGCCUGUAGUAGGCCUUCCUCUGAUAAAGCAACUACAUGGGCCGCUCCACAGGACACUUGACGGAUAACCUGUAAUAAUCAAACGCAUAUUAAUCUCGUAUUAUAAAGCAAUCAGUAAACAGCUUCAGAGAACCUGAUCCUUGGUUAGAAAUCAUGAUCGAAAUAUAUAUGGAAAAAGACCGGUUAAUCAGGAAAAAAAAAAGUGUUCGCGGAUUCAAUUAGACACAAUAAUUAAGAAUGGUUGAAGAUUACGCUGCUUAAGAUCAGACCACAUAAGCAGAAAGUUGAAUGAGAAAGCUACAAGCUAAAUUAUAUUUGUCUCAAACAGAAACAGAAAAAAAUGUGCAAACUCCAUGUUACAGAAUUCAAUUGAAGUCGAUGGAGGGAGGAGUGAUAAAGUUAGGUCCUUCUUCUCUCAUACUUGUGCAUGUGUGUCAUCAAAGUGGAGAUUCUCUAGUGUUGGUUAGGUAAUAAACCAAUUCAAGGAACAACCUGCCAGCCUGAAAAUCGACUGGAAAAGUCCGCUUAUUUCUCUGCCAGGUCAUGAGCUAGAUAACAUAUCAAUAUAGAUAAAAGAACACAGAUAAUAUUAGAAGCAAAUGAUACUGCAAAAGUAUCCUAAAAGUUAGGUCAUGACUUAUUGAAGCAAAGCUAUCUUCAGUUCACUCAUUUAUGAAGGAGAUAGCAGGAACCUAGCAUUUGGUUCUGAAUAAAAACUGGUCCCAGAGAACCAAAAUGUCUAAAAGUGAUUAGCAUGAAGUUUCCUUUUCCUAGUCCGUGACAGGAAUCGUAAAUUUUAAAUAAAUAAAAGCCUCAAACUUCAUAAACAGGACCUUGAAGAAUUAAAGAAAGGUUCAAAAACAAAGAGCAACAAAACAAUAACAGCAACGUCUCUUGGGGUGAAGACAUCAGGAAUUCAAGACAAUACCAUGUUAGGAGUGAAUGCACCCCAAAAUAAACGAGGUAAAUUUGAUCCCUGUAAUCAUUUAUGGAAAAGUAAGUGGAAAGUGAGAUCAAUAUCAAUUAAAAAUCUAAAAAGCAACAAUGAUUCAUUAACUAUAAAUUUCAUUACCUGAUUUUGUCCCCAAAUCCAGAGUCUCCUUUUUGAGAUAGUCCCAUCAUUUUCACGAGGUUCUGCAAUACCAGCUGUGCAAUGUGCCCCACAAGAUACAAAUUUCACAAACUCCGUCUGCAAUUGCUUUACUUUCUUUGGGUUUUUCCUCCCCUUCUCAGUGCCAUCUCCCAGUUGUCCAAACUCAUUAGCACCUAGCAAAAUGCAUCAAAAUAUAAUUCUUCUUUUCCUGAUAUGAACAUACAAAAACAACAAGAACAGCCACAUCUUUGGCAAAGACUAGUUCCUUUAUGUUUCCAAUUUUCAGUAGCACAACACCUUCAUAUAGUUAAUUAUCAAAACAAUCUAUACCUAUGUUGUUCCAACUGUUCUUUUUUUUUUUUUUUCUUGAAGUACCGUGUCCAAGCAUGUAUGGAAAUGCAUAUCAGACUAUGACCCUCCAAGAACUCUCCAAAUACAUGAAAAGACUUGAAAAAAAAUGAAUAUACCUGUGUCGAGCACAUAUAUGACCAUGCACACUAAAAAUAAAUUCUCAUUAACAAGGAGAUAAUCUACAGUCAAAUUAGCUAUUACUAAUAUAAAUCAAGCAAUAAGAACAACCAAAUCACCUCAAAGGAAACAACAUAAUACAAAUGUUCGCCAGUAGACCAGCAGAAUUCCAGCCGUAGGCAAAAAAAAGUAGAUAGCAAGAUCGAAACAACCAGAGCAAAGGAGCAGACAAAUACAAAAGGCAGGAUAAUGUACAAAACUUGAUGAUAACAAAGAAAAAAGAGGGACUUCAGAAAUGGAAAACAAGCUCCAGAGGAAAAAUGCCCAAAACCAAUAGAAUCAAAUCAACAGGACCAACCAAUACAACAAAAACAGCAUUCUCAAUAUCCUCAAGAAUCCAAGACAUCAACAAUAGAAUUUAAAUGGCAAGAUAAAUAACAACACACAUCGUUUUCAAAAUGAAAAAACAACUAAUCAAAUUCAUUUAAAUAAAACAAACAAACCCCACGUGAAUAAUGACCCAUCUGAGGCCACCGCCGCAGUAUGCUCACGGCCGCAAGCAAUAUCCAGCCAGCGGGAAUUUGCCCCCGCCGGACACCCAAAGAGAUCGGGCGAUAGCUGUUUAGGGAUCCUCAAGUGUUGUUCUUUCCCUCUCCUACCAGUCUGGCCACUAUGAUUAUAUCCCCACACAUAAAUUGCACUCUUUGUUGGAAUAUUCUGAGAACGGGUCAUCGUUUCACCCAUAAUUGUUUCAAUAUCCAUCUAUUUACAAACAAAUAUAGAUGCAAUAAAUGAGAACAAGUUCACAACAUUAAACAUUUGUCUAUUAUACUAAUUUCCAUAAAUUUAACAAAAAAAUGAAAAUUAAAGGGUUUUUUUUUUUCAAUCGAGGUUCAUGACAUUACCUUAGUUUGGUAGGUGGGAAAAUGGAGGAAAGGAAAAGAAAAGUAAGAAACCCGCACGAAAAGCCAAGUGCUUUUAAGUUAAUAAGGUAAAAAGGACAAUGAUGAUGAUAUAAUAUCCGUUUGGUUUACGUGAAAAUGCAGGAAAGGAAAGGAGACUUUAAAAAGAAAAGAUUCUGACAAUUUCUGGAGUCAAUGAUCGCGUUUAUAAUUCGAUAAAACUUUGAUUAAGUUCAAAAGAAACGAGGAAACGAAUUCGAGAGAAUUUGAAGAACGCACCUCAGUUUUGAGAAUGGAAAUUGAAUUGAAUUUUCUUGGAUUAAAUAGAAAAAAUAAAUUAGUAAAUGGAGAUUUUAUUACAUGACAAAAAAAGGCAAAGACCGUAACUUUUCUGGAUUUAAGAGAUCCCGGUAGUGUUCCAGGAAUAUGGGAAUCGGGUCGGAUCUAGUCAGGUUGGGAAAUUAUGAAGGACCCGAAUGUUCUAGGCCCAAGUAUUCCGUUUUACAAAAAGAAUCUUCUAGACACAAGAUAUUGUAUAAUGAAAAUGAAUAGUAAAUAAAUAUUCUUUUAUUAUAUUAUUCGAUUUAAAAAAAUUAUAAAUUUAUUAUUCGAUUUAUUUUUUAUUUUUUUUAAAGUUGAAAACCGUUAAAUUGCGGCUGACGUGAUUCUUAACUUAAUGAUAUGUUUUUUUAACAUUUUUAUUCUACAUAAAUUUCAUGUCAUAUUAUAAUUUAAAAAAAGAUUACUUUUUUUACCCGAACCUACACCUUUUUGGGUACUUCCAUCUCUAAAAUAUGGCUAUUUUACUAAAUUGAUUCAAAAAAAUUUAAUAUUUAUAAAAAUAACUCAGGUUCAAAAAUAAUCACCAAAAUGACUCGAAAUGAACAAAAGAUUAGGGUUUUUGCCUGUUAAUUGGCAAGCACCAACUCGUAUUUUACACACAUGAUUGCUUGAUGAUUGUGUCAGGCUUUAAAAAAUUAUUUUUUUUGGUUUUGGCCUGUCAAUGGCCGACACCAAGGUAUUUUUUUCAAAUCGUAUCAUACUGUAUACAAAAAUACAAGUUUUCAAAAAAAAAAGAAUUUUUUUUUGUGCUGGUCUGUCAAUGGCCGGCACCAAUAAUUUUAAAAAAAUUAAUUUUUUUUGUGCUGGCCUAUCAAUAGCCGGCACCAGUAGUAAUUUAAAAAAUUUAAAUUUUUUUGGUGCUGGCCUAUCAAUGGCCGGCACCAGAAUACGAGUUUUUAAAAAAAAAAUUUGGUGCUGGCCUGUCAAUGGCUGGCACCAGAAUACAAGUUUUCAAAAAAAAUUUUGGUGUUGGCCUAUCAAUGGCUGGCACCAAUAUUAAAAAAAUUUUGAAAUUUUACAAAUUUUCAAAAAAAAAUGGUCAAUGGCCGACACCAAACCUUAUAUAUAGUGGGUGGUUUGGCCGACACCGAACUAGGCUGUGGUUGAAACCGAUUGGUAGAGAGUCUCCAUGCAAAAGUACCUCAGGAAAUAAUAGAAGAAGAAAAGAUCUGGAGUUUUUAGAAAGCUAUAGUUUCCCAGCUGGUUUUCUGUUUCCUUUUUAUAUUUUUAAAAUUUGUUUGGUUCCGGGACAAAUCAAUUUAAAGGAAGAAAUUUAUUAUUUUUAAAAUUUCGAUUUUAAUUAAAAAAUAAAAUAAUUAAAUGAUAAAGCAAUUUAAUUAAAAGAGGCCAUUAAGAGGCCUAAAAUUGGCGAUUAACAAGCAUCCAAAGCCUAGCCUGCUACGCAUUAUGAAGCCUGCCAUGGCCUGUGUCCCAAGGCCUGAUGCAGGUCAUCCGAGUUGAACAGGUACGGCCAUUAGAAGUAGGGGUGAGCAUUUACAAAAAAUUUCUAACAACUGUUGCUGCUCAGUAACCCAUGAUGGUAUAAGCGUCGCGAUAUCUUCCUCAUUAUAUGGCAUCCAUAUAAACUGCAUAAUAUAAAGAACACGUUAUAUUUAAUUUUUUUUCUUGUGCAAUUGUUGUAUUUAAAAAAGAGAAAUUCAGAAUCGUAUUUUACAACAUCCCCGAAAUGAGUCUCUAUCAUCAUACGGUACAUAGGUACCGUGAAUGAUCUGCCGAUUCCCGGUACAAUUGCCCAUCUAAAAAAAAUUAUCAUAUUAUUUUCAAUAUGAAAAAAACGAAUAUACUAGAGUAUAUAAUUAAAAAAUAGAUGGCAAAAUUGAAAUAUAUAUUUACCUAUUAACCAGUGGCCAGACAUACGGUUGGUGGCUCACUGAUGCCAGAAAUGGCAUUCAAUAUAAUGCCCAAGACUGCAGUAGAAGGCAGCAACCGCCCAUUGUUUUUGUAGACGACUUUGUUGCUCGACAAAGCUCGCGGUAUAAGUAUGCCAACACUGCAGAGCCCUAGCUAAAUCUUCCGGCAUGCUCGAGAUCUUCUAAUAAGGGGAGAUACGUUAUUGAGACUUUAUUUUAAUUUACGUCUGGCAAUAGUAUCCCACCUAUAAGUUGAAGAAUAAACGCUCUCGCAGCGUAGAUAAUGUCCAUCUGCGUUGGACUGCUUGGAAGAUGUCGGAAGUUUUGUUUUAACCAAUUAAAUUUAAUAUGUGUUAAUCAUCCUUUGUCGUCGUUCGGGGGCACCUUUCCAAGUAAUCGCUCGCAAGUGCCCCAUGGGUCGGGCACUUUUCCAAGCCUGGUCACUGCAUUGCCGUUUACAGACAGCCCUAGUUGGACUGCUACGUCUUGUAGCGUAAUAGUACCUCUCUACACGGGAGGUGGAACGUAUGUGUCUCCAGGCGCCAUCUUUCAACUAAGGCCGAUAUUAAAUCGGCUCGUAGCUCAAAUAACUGAAUGUAUGCGGCUACCCCAAAACCCGCUACAUUCAAAUACGGUAAAACUCUUCGAUCGGGAAAAUAACUGGGAUCAUGCACCCGGGGUCUCACAAUUCAGUACAGAUUCUGCAUUUAUAGUAAAUAUAUAAUGUUAUAUUUCUCAUUUAAAAAAGAAUUUAAAAGAAUAUUUAAAAUUAAAUCAGACAUUUUAUUUCUCGUUUACUUGAUGCACCCUAGCUGCAAUGUGAUUGCUAUCAUUUAAAAGAACAUUAGGAUUAAGAUCCAUGGAGUGAUCGGCGGUCAUCAGCGGUGAACAGCGAAUGUCGGAGGUGUCUGGAGGUGCUCGGUGGUCGUCGGUGGUCGUUGAUGGUCAUCGGAGUAGCCUAUUUAUAGUGGGGGACCAUUUGGCUUCAAGGGCAAAAUUAAAAAAAAUAUGAAAUGAAAAAAAAAGUAAAAGAAGUAUGAAAUAGUUGGCCAAUUCACAGGCCUGACACAGGCGUCACAGAUGGGUCUUAUCAACCCUUUUAUUUUUCAUUUUAUUUUUAUUUUAUUUUUUUUCAAUUAUUUUUUUUUCAAUUCAUUUCAUAUUAUUAUUUUCUUUUUCAUAUUAUUUUUUUCAAUUCAUUUUAUAUUAUUUUUUUCAAAUUAAUUAAAAGUGGUCUUAAUAUCAGGGCCAUUUAAAUUUUUUUCAUCUAUUUUUAAAAUUUUUUAUAUUUUAUUUUUGUCAAUUUAAAUUUAAAAUUUUUUAAUUUUUUUUCAUAUUUUCAUAUUUUCUCUUUUUUUUGGAUUUUUUAGACCUAAUACCACAUUUAUCAAGCCUGAUAAAAGGCAUUUCGACUUUUAAAAAGUAAGCUGAAGCCGGCCAUUGCAAGGCCAUUGUCAGGCCUAUGCUUAGGUGAUGCAGGCCAAGCCUGCAUAUUAGUCAUGUCAAACUCUUUUUUUUUCAUUUCUUUUCAUUUUCAUUUCAUCUUCAUUUUAUUUCAUUUCAACUUCAUUUCAUUCUAAUUUCAUUUCAUUUAAAAUUUUUUUUCAAUUUAAAUUUAUUUUUUUCUCAAUUCAUUUAUAUUUUUUAAUUUUAAUUUUAAUUUUUCCUUAUUUCAUUUAAAUUUUUUAUUUUUCAUUGCAAUUUUAAAUUUUUUUGUCAUUUCUUUUAAAUUAUCUAUCUUUCCAUUUAUUUUUUUCUCAUCUUAUUUAAAUUAAAAGUUUCUCCCAUUCAUUUAAAUUUGUAUUUCUUUCAAAUUUAAUUUCAUUUUUUUUCUCAUUUCAUUUCAAUUAAAUUUUUUCCUCAUUUCUUUUGAAUUUAUCUUUCUUUCAAUUUUCAUUUAAAUUUUGUACCGCUUCAUUUCAAUUUAUUUUUUUCUCAUUUCAUUUAAAUUAUCAAUUUUUCCAUGUAAUUUUUAAUUUUUUCUCAUACAAUUUAUCUAAUUUUAUUUCUUUUAUAAUGUUUUUACAAUAACAUGUGCUCAAUAAUAUAUCACUCGUCAUCUUGGAGUCCAACACUACGAGACGAUUGACCAGAAACAUAUACACGAUGUGGGCGUGUUGAUCGGUUGUGUCUGGAUGCUCGACACACAGUGCACAGUUUGGGUUCACCCGUCUCCUUGACAUCCAUGUCAUUUCGAAUUCUCGUCGAUUGUGGUCGACCUUUAGAAUGUCUACGGAGACUACGGUCAGGCACCAUCUCGAAAGUAGGCGGUGGAACUUCCCAAUUUGAGACAUCGGGCAUUACAGGAAAUUCGUUCCCCCAUAUACGUAAUUUGCGUUCCAACGUGUAGAUCUCAUCUAUGAAUUGUUCAACAUUUAAGUUUGCUCUCGCACACGCUGCAUGAACAUGCGCACACGGAUAUCGAAGAGUCUGAAAUAUCCCGCACUCGCAUCGUCUGUUUCGCAGAUCAACUGUGUACGACCUAGGUGGAAGACCCGAACGACAGCCGAUGUACUCUUGAACUCGAAAAGUCUCCAAGUCGCGGAAUACAAUUCAGCGUUCGUUGUUUGUGCCCUUCGACUAUUUACCGCCAUGGCCUUUCAGACGGCCUCUACGUACAAGUUCCUGGCCUCAAUCUGCUUAGCUUGUCUCAACCCCAUCUUAGGCAUCAAUGUUGCCAACCUAUAGAAUUUUGCCCAGAACACAGCAGAAAUCGGGAGAUGGCGUGUGCGCCUCAAUACAAAGUUGACCGCUUCUACCAGGUUGAUCGUCAUCUGCCCAUACUGAAACCCCUCAUCGUAACUUUGAGUCCAUUGUGAGUUCUCCAUGCUACCUAACCAUGUCCGGAGAUCUAUUGGUAAAGAUGACAUCUGAGAUUCAAGCCUCGCGAACCUCUGCCUAAACCUUCGCGGUUCUAACUCAUGAGCUGCAUGUUUAAUUUGAAAUCAUCAUUUUAAAAACAACAAAAAAUUUGAAAAGUAAUUUUUUAAAUAAAUACAAAUAAAUUUUUUUUUGCCCAUGUUCACAAGUUCUUUUUUUCAAUCUUUAUUCUUAUAAUCUCUGUGAAAGUUUGCCUCGAUGUGCCGAAUGCAAUAAAUAGACCUUUACGGAACCCCCGAUCGCCUUAUCGCAGCAAGUAAUCCUUUUGAUCUAUCUGAUAUAAUGCAAAUAUUAUCUUCUCUGACAAUGUGCCUCCACAGAUUUGUGAAGAAAAAUUCCCAAGACUCGAAGCACUCACGCUCCACGAUGGCGAAAGCAAUCGGAAGUACAUUUCGGUUAUCGUCUUGUGCAACAGCAAUCAGGAGUAUUUGCGUGUACUUUCUAUACAACCAUGUCCCGUCCACCUGCACCAUCGGCUUGCAGUGAAGGAAGGCCCUAACACACGGCUCGAAUGUCCAAAACAAUCGGUGAAAAACUCGUUUCCCUGAUUGUAUCUCCUCGUCCGUGCCUUGAUACGACAGCGUUUGUAAAUAAGUCACUGUCCCAGGCACAUACUCCUGCAUCCCGGCUAUCCAUAUAACGCCUCUUAACCCCAACUGGUCACCGGAACAGGGUUACUAGGCAUUACCGGAAUUAAACACUAAUAAUGAAUAACACCGAGUCAUAAAUCUAUAUUUCAAUUUAAAAUUUCUCAAAUUCCAUCUUUAAGUCCCUAAAAUGGACCUAGGAGGCCCAAAAUAUACUUAGGAAGUGUUUUGGGAUUAAAGCGGGAACUUUGGAAACUCUUCCUUCAGAAUAGGGGCACACGCCCGUGUGGCCUGGGACAUGCCCGUGUGGCCUGGAACAUGCCCGUGUGGCCUGCCCGUAGGCAGAUCUGACUUAUUCACACGGCCGUGGAACUAACCUAUGGCCAAUUCUGACUUUUCCACACGGCCUGGGCACACGCCCAUGUGACUUGGCCGUGUGAAAAUAUGAUUUUUGACCAUUUUAAAGCUAUUUUCACAUACUAAACACACCUAAUUCAUGCCCAAAACAUUUACUUAUAAAUCUUGAUCAAAUAAAAUUCAUCAAACCUUUCAAACUUAGCAAAUUCUCAUUCAUUCAUUUCAUUACCACUUAAAAAUUAUGCACCACAUUUACAUUCAAAAUAUAAAACAUUUACAAGUGACAAAUACCAAACCUAGUACAUGCCACAUAUCUAAAAGAUAGAGCAUCACCAAAAUUGAGCUGAGGUUGGGAUUGACUCAGAUGCUUGACUGAACUUCAACUUUAACUAACUUGCGCACGGAAAACAACCGUACGCUGAGUAUUGGAAAUACUCAGUGGUAUUAUCAUAAUUCAAAUUAUAACAACAAUAAAAUAUUAUAACAUACAUAGAUAAUUAGCAAAUCAUACAUAUAAAUUCAUACCAAACUAUCAUAUUUCCAUUAUAUCAUAUCCAAUGUUAAAUCCAAUAAAUCAUCAAUGAGAUUUCAAUUAACUCGUGAUCCUUUGAUUCAUCUCUCAACUACAUAUAAUUAUUCAAUUCACAUUUCAAAUAUGAACACUUCAUGAACAUUUGGUUCAUGCCUUCAAUCUCUUUACAAAUUUCAUUUCACAUUCCAUCUUACAAUAUCACUUUCUCAUUUCAUUCAAUAGCUCAAUUAACCAAAUCCAUUUGAUUUUACUAUUUCACUUAUUUUCCCCUAUUAACAUGACUCGGACUUUGGCAGAUACACGAUCCAACCAACACACCAGAAUGGCGACCAACGCCUCAUCGAAUAAUUCGAAGCAAAUAAGUGACGACCAACGUCUCAUCGGCUAAGCAGAAGUAAAGUGGCGACUAACGCCUCAUCGAAUCUAUCCGAAGUAAAUAUGACACACCAAGUGUCUCAUCGACUCGAGGUCGAAGAAUCCCUGAACUCUUCCUAUCCUAUGGCAUGCCAACUAUAUCCACCCUAGCCCGACUAGUUAAUAGGGUAUCAAAAUCACAUAUUCAUAUCACUUUCACUUUCAGUUGAUCGUAAUCAUUCGAAUUCAAAUCCAUCGCAAUAACAAUUCGAUCACAAUUUCAAAUUCACCACAAAUCAUUAUAUAAUUCAAUUUCACACAUGUAUACAUUCAUCAAUCAAAUCCAAUUCCCAUUCAAUUCAAAUAUCACUACUUACCUCACAUUCAAAUUCCAUACACAUUUAUUAAAAUUAAACAUUUAAUAAGAAAUAACUUGAAUUAUGAUAAUACAAACUGAUAUUUUUCUCGAGCUAUUCCUCGAUCACUUUUUCCUUUCCUUUCGUAUUCGACGUCUCAAUUUCCUUGUUUGCUACGAAAAUUAGUAUAAGUACAAUUAAUUAAUAACACACAUAUUUUAUAUAAAAUAAUAACUUUUCAUGCAACUUUUACCUAAAUCCCAAAUUUAUCCUAACUAUUUUCAUCUUCUUCCUUUUUAUAAUUCACAUCAUUUUCUUAUUCAAUUUCCAUCAAAACUUCAAUAUAACCAUCAAAUUUUCAUCAUUUUACCAUAAUUUCAAAUUUCUUCCAAUUUAACCCCUAAAAUUCAAAACUUAUAGGCUAGUUCACAAAUUAGUCCUUUAAUCAAUUUUAAUCAACAAUUCUAUCAAUUUAAUCCCUAAUUUCAUCAUUUAUUCAACAUAAACCUUACUCAAAAGUCUAUCAACUUUCAAUAUUUCCACACAAAUUCAAGAGUACUUUACUCUAAGACUCCAAAAACAUCAAAAUCACAAAGAAAGGGACUUAAUUGACUUACCAAUUUAACUUUCAAGCUUUCAAACCCUAAUUUCUCCUUUUUUUUUCUUUUCUUCUUUCUUUCUUUCUAUUUCGUUUGAUUCUCUAUAACUAUUUCUCUUGUUUUUCUUUAUUUUAUUCAUUCUUUAUUUUAUUACCUUAUUUACUUAAUUAAUAUUUAAUAAAAUAUCUAAUUAAUAUAAAUAAAAAUAUUACAUGUGUGUUCAUACACACAUGUACACAUGUAUUAAUCCCACACCAUACAUUUGUCAUUAUCUCAAUUAAUAGAUAAAAUAUAAUAAUAAUAAUAAUAGUAAUAAUAAGUAAAUAUCUUUUACUUAAUAAAUAAGUAAAUAUAUAUAUAACAUACAUUUGUACUAAUAAUUUAAAUACACAUAUAUUUAUUCUCUAUCUUACACAUGUCACUCAUUUGGUUUAAAUCCUAAUUUAGUCCUUUUUCAUUUUUCUUUAUUUUAUAAUUAAUCUUUUACACUCUAUUCAAUUUAGUCCUUUUUAAUAAUCACUCCUAAUUAAACUAAAUUCACCUAAUCAAAAUCUAAUUCAACCCAUAACUAACUUCGUAAAUAUUUUUUUAUAAAUAUUUACGGACUAGAUUUCCUAAGACGGAGGCCCUAAAUUUAUUUUUCCGGUGCCCAUGAAAUAUGGGUCGUUAUAAUCCACCCUUGAAGCUCGUUGUAUGACGCAUCCCAGUCACCAUACAACUCUCGCAUCGCCAUUUGCUUUGCCCACUAUGCCUUUCGGUACGACACUUUAUACUUGAAUCGAGGUUGCAUGUCCGCAAUAAGGAUCGACAUUUGAAUGGUGGGCGACUCUUUCACCAAAUGAAUGAUGUAGUUGUAUAUAGUUUUUGCAUAUAACUUUCCAUGGUCUUGCGACAUACGAGCGGACGUGCAUGUGUGUGGACCUUCUAGUUUUCUUAUCAUCCACAUCUGCGUCUGCUGCAUUAACGUGGCUUGGACACACCAUUUACAACCACUUGACGCUUUCCAACAUUCUUCUACGUACAAAGACUGCGUCGACUUCGUUACUUUAUAAUCCACACCUAACUUCAAGCUAAGUUGUUUUAUAGCAUGUAAACAGUCUUUUUUGUUAUCGAAUUGUUGUCCUACAAACAACUCUUCAUCGCUGAAUUCUUCGUCAAGUAUGUGAGCCGGCACAAUAUUUGUAUAUUCCGGGAACUCACGUGCUAGCACCGCAUCAGGAUCUACGUCGGUCAUGAAAGACCUCGAAUUAUUUCUUAUAACUAUACCAGGGCCUGUGUUCCCGGUCAAAUGGGGGUUUACAUUUUCACCCUCCACUGGCCCUUUCUCAUCUAUGUCUUCAGGGAUGUCAUCCAAUAGAGGUUACUGAAAUCAUCGUUUGGAUCACAAUGGGACUGAUCAUCAUUAUCGGACCCUUCAUCACCAUUUUCUAUGGUGGCCAACACCUCUGGAUGGAUCUCUAGACGAGGACACGGGUUUGGGAUGUUAUACGAACAUCCGCCGAUGUUUGGAUUUUCGGGAGUUAGCAUUGACCAUCCAAAACCCAACUGAUCUUCCCAGGAGAUGUUAAGAUCAAAAUCAAUUUCAGAGCGCUGGCUUGCUGGAAUUACAACUUGAAUCGGAUCUAGUUCAGCUAUCUCCAUGAACAACUCAAUCGAGUUGGGAUUUUCUAUCUCAGGAGGACAAUAAAUUGCUAUCAUUGUCCCUAGAUCAUCAUCAUCUUCAAGCUCCAUUUCUGAGAAUUUUAGCGGAUCAGUUGAAACCGAAAAUUUGUAAAACAGUCUCAACAUUUGCUUUUCGCAACGGCUUGCUAUCUUUGUACUGAUUUUCUGUUUUAAAUCCGACAACGAAACACGUCUGUUGAAUCUCAUUCCUAUUUUUUUCCGACUUCAAAAUACACAGCCUUCCUAAAUUGUAUUUAUCAUUUCUCCAUCGAAAUGAACAUAAACAAACAAAAUUUGGGAAAUCAUCUUAAAAAAAUUUUGCUUUCUUCUCAACGAAGAAAAAACUAAAAUUUUUUCUGAAAAAACUAAAAUCUUAAAAAGCACACAAAAACUCAAAUGGAAGAUAAAAUACAUAUAUAUAUCUGAUAAAUUUAGUGCCGGCCAUUGAUAGGCCAACAACAAAAAAAUUUAAUUUUUUUUAAUACUGGUGCCUGCCAUUGACAAGCUACCACAAAAAAAAAUUCAAUUUUUUUUAAUACUGGUGCCGACCAUUGAUAGGCCAGCACUAAAAAAAUUUCAAAUUUUUUUUUAAAUACUGGUGCCGCCAUUGACAGGCAAGCACCAAUUUUUUUUUAAAAACUCGUAUUCUGGUGCCUGUCAUUGACAGGCCAGCACUAAAAAAUUUUUAAUUUUUUUUAAAUUACUGGUGCCUACCAUUGACAGGUCAGUACCAAAAAAAAUCUUUUUUUUGAAAACUUGUAUUUUUGUAUACCAGUAUGAUACGGUUUGAAAAAAAAUACCUUGGUGCUGGCCAUUGACAGGCCAAAACCAAAAAAAUUAAUUUUUUAAAGCCUGACACAAUCAUCAGGAAAUCAUGUGUGCAAAAUACGAGUUGGUGCCAGCCAUUGACAGGCCCAAACCCUAAUCUACUGUUCAUUUCAAGUAAUUUUGGUGAUUGUUUUUGAACCUGAGUCAUUUUUAUAAAUAUCAAUUUUUUUUGGGUCAGUUUGAUAAAAUAGCACCAAAAUCCACUCUAACCAUAAUUUUGCUCGUUUUUCCAACGAACGACUUAUUUAACCCCGUUAACAUCUCUGUCAUCAUCUCCUACAUCCUCAAUUCUUACGAGUUCCCGACCACAUCGUCGUCGCCUGCAACUUCUUCGACUACUACUCCUCCAUAGAUCCAACCUCUAACUGCAACUGCGUUUGUUUCUUCUAGCCCACCAGUUUCCUUCUGAGGGAACCGAAACAAAACCCUUUAUUAUUUCAACUAGAAAGCCAUCUUCAAGAUCAAAUUCAAAGGAUUACUCUUUCUCAAACCAGAUUCAAAUCCCUUAUUUCUGAUCCCAAAAUAUCAUAUAAAGUAAACUCCUCUCCAAGUUAUUUAUGCCUUCCAUUCGCAUCUAAAGAUUCCCCACAUUUUCCUACAACACCCAAAUUACAUGUAAUCAAAAAAUUUUCAAUAAAAACAACUGACACGGUAAAAACCCAUCAUUCCAUUGCGAUAAAAAAAAUAUAAACAAAUAAAAAAUCAUUAAAAAAACAAUGGCUUACAAAUCCAUCCAAGUUAAGGGAGUGAAGGAACAAGUGUCUUGUAAAUUAAAAUAUAAAAUAAAUAAAUAUGAUAUUUGUCAUUCUCUUAAUUUAUUUGUGAAAUCUGAAAAAACUUAAUGAAAGAAGAAAAAAGAGCUAAUUUAUUGAUUACUAGAAACAAAUAUUAAAAUAAAAUUUUAGUUAAAUGAUAAAUUAAAAGUUUUACUGAUAUAAUUGGUUUGGAUUCAAAUAUCAUCAUAGGUAUAUUUUUAUUAGUUUUUUUAAAUAAAAAGAUUAAAAUAUUCUCUAAUAAUAUAACUUAUUUUAAUUACGAAAUGAUAUUUUCAUAAUUUUUCUAACUGAGUUGCUAACUUAAUUGAGGAUGACACCAUCUUAAUCAGGAGCUUAAAUAAUAUUAUAGAUAAAAUAAAUAACUCAUAGUGUUGUAAUAUCCACUAUUAAUAUGACAAAGAUUUAAGCCUCAUUUACAUUUGAGGUUGAAAAGCAUUUUUUAACCUAAACGUUGAUUUCAAACAAAAAUUGUUUUGGAAAACAAGCAACUUCUUAAAGGGGAUUUUAAUUCAAGCCAAAAAUUUUAACUUUUUUCUUUCCAAAAUUUUUUAACUUUUUUCUUUUUUGGAAUAGUACUUUUCAAUUAAGUUAUUAAACCUUUUAUAAUCUAAAAUUAACAUUUUAUCUUCUCAAAAGUACUUUUAAACUAUUAAAAUAAUCAUUUUUAUUUACCUCAAGUUACAUUUUAGUCACUUAUGUUUGAAAUGUUACAUUUUAGUCACUUACAUUAUCGCGUUGUAAUAUUUUAGUCACUGAGCCAUGGUAAGCUGACGUGACACUUUAAAUCAUUAUUUCGAACAAAAAUUUUAGGUUAAUUUAUACAAUCGAUCUCCAUAUUUUUUCGUUUUGGGCAAUUUAAUUUUUUUCUUUUAUUUUCUUUAUUUCCCAUUCUCUUCUGCUUCUUCCUCUGUUUUCCUCCAUUUUCCAUUUCUUUUAACGGAGUUUUUCUAUUUUUUCUAUUUGUUAAAACUAUGAAAAAUAUAGAAAAGCUACGUUAAAAGAAAUGAAGAAGAGAGGAAAACAGAGGGAGAAGCAGAAGAGAAUGGAAAUAAAAAAAAGAAAAAGAAAAGGAAAGUUCAAAGAACAUAAAAGAAAAAAAUUAAAUUACUUGAAAUGAAAAAAUAUGAUGACCAAUUGUAGAAUUUAACCUAAAUUUUUUGUUUAAAAUGAUUAUUUAACAUGCCACGUCAGCUUACUAUUACACCGUUAAUGGCAAUUAACGGCUCAAUGACUAAAAUGCUACAACACGAUAACGUAAAUGACUAAAAUGUAACGUUUUAAAUAUAAAUGACUAAAAUGUAACUUGAAACAAUCAGAAGUGAAUAUUUUAACAGUUUAUCAUUUUAAUAAUAACAGUAAACACUAUCAAUAUUUUUAAAAACACUUUUUUUUUUCACACAACUUUACAAUAUUAAUGGUAAACUAGCAGUGAAAGAGUAAAGUAUAAGAGCCCAAAAGGCCCAAAGCAAAAUGUCCCCUCAUUGAAACGUUAGACGUUAAGCUACAGCAGUAUUGGGAAUGGAGAAAUACAGAGCUGGGCUACAAAAGUAUGAAGGCCCAGGUUGGCUAUAAAUGAAAAUAUGACCGUCUUCUAAAACAGAAUUUUUCCUAUCAACUCCACGUCUCUUUCCAUCGACUUAAAUACCAGAAUAACAAUUACGAGCUUUAUAAUUCAUUGUUUACAUCCUUGCAGGGCUAAGUCUCCAGAUAACCAAUAACACCUCCCACUCCUAAAAGCUGUCAUUCUCCUCCAUGCAUUUUCUUAAAAAAGUUAACAGGAGAGUGAUUUGGCAAAAGAGGUGAGCUUGUGAAUGGUGUGGGAAGUAUGUAAUGACCAUACCACACUUUAUUAUUUGCACAAGCAAAUCAAAGUUAAGCUUUACAUCAUAAUAAUGACAUGAGGACUUUGGAAUGGAAGAAACAAGACGGUGAAUACUAACCAAAAAUCUAUCAUCUCCCAUUUACGAUACCAUUUAAUUUCUUUUAUAAAAACAAUGAUUCUGAGACAUAAUUGUUGACUUGAAUGGAAUGUCUCGCAACUCUUUUUUUGUUCCUAUCAGUUUCUGGCAAAGCAUGGGAUCAUAGUAUCCAUAUAAUUACAAUAUAUUUAUAGGAUACUACUUCUAGAGCUUACCUUGUCUUGUAAGAAACAAGACAAGAGUGAAUAUGUUUCUGUUUCUGAUCCCGUGAAGGAAAAAUGCAAGUUUUACUCAAAUCCGCUGCUCUUAAUCUUAAAUUAUUUCUUUCCGAACAAUCUGAGUCUUGAAUGUAAAAUCUGAAAGGAAUCAAUUAUUAUGAUGUCCUACAACUCACAUGCACAGUUUGGCAAAAUAACAUUGAAAAACAUCUGAUCUAAGACUUUUGGCAAAUGAUUAAAUUAGUUAAUUUAUUUUAAAAGUAUUACAACUUUCAUUUUCGAGUUUGACAACAAUUUUUGUCAUGGCAUGAGAGUACUGAGAGUGAGGCCACGUGAAAUAAUCCUCUUGUGGCCGUUUUAAAGGUCUCGUGAACCAACAGGGACCCCUGUUCAUCCCAAAAUGAAUAAAAUAUUUUGGUUUAACUUAUCACAUUUUUAAUCUUAAUAUCCCAAUUAUGAUCUCCUUUAUUUUAUUUUUAAAUAAAGAAGAAAAUAGAAGUAGAGGGGGAGCUAUUUAUAAACACCAUAUCCUUGAAAUAAUUGUUAUCGACAAACUUCCUAGAAAAUAAAAAGAGACUUGAAAAAUGUGUUGGUUUUCCCUUAUAAUAAUAUUGUCGAGUUCCAUAGUUAUAGAUUUGUCAGAGGGUAGCCAUGCCCAUCAUCAUCAUCAUCGGAAGAAAUCUGCAGUUGUUGUUGGAAGUGUGUACUGUGAUACUACAUGUUCCCAAGAGGAGUUCUCUAGGACCAGCCAUUCCAUUUCAGGUUUAAUUCCAUUGCCAAACUUGUAUAAGGCUUCCAUCUCCAUCAGUUAGUCUGAAUUGGGGUGGUUUUGUGUGCAGGUGCAUCAGUUGCAGUGGAAUGUAAAGAAGGGACUUCAAGGCCAGGUUUCGUGCAGGAAGUGAAAACCAAUGAGCAUGGUGAAUUCGAACUUCGAUUGCCUUUCUCAGUUAGUAGAAGGGUGAAGAAAAUCAAUGGAUGUUCAGUGAAAUUGAUUAAAAGCAGUGAACCAGAUUGUAAUGUGGUGGCCUCAAUACCAGCUUCGUCUGCACUCCGUCUGGUGUCGGGGAAGCAUGGAACUCGUGUGUUUUCAGCUGGGACUUUCAGCUUCAAGCCUCUAAAACAACCAAACCUGUGUAGAACAAAACCAAAAGAAGCAAAUGGAGAAAAGGCUGUCCUUGGCCACCCUGAAUCAUUCUUUUUCCCUCCUCCCCUGUUUCCUCCGAACCCCUUUCAGCCUCCUCCGUUGCUUCCUCCCAUACUGCCACCACCAGCUCCACUUAUUCCAAACCCAUUUCAGCCUCCUCCAGCUCCACUUAUUCCAAACCCCUUUCAGCCUCCUCCAGCUCCUCUUAUUCCAAACCCUUUUCAGCCUCCUCCAGCCCCACCGGCUCCACUUAUUCCAAACCCUUUUCAGCCUCCUCCCGCACCACCGGCUCCACUUAUUCCAAACCCUUUCCAGCCUCCUCCCGCACCUCCAGCUCCAUUUAUCCCAAACCCCUUCCAGCCUCCUUCGGCACCUCCAGCACCUCCAGCACCAUGGUUUCAUCUUCCACCGAUUCCAGGACUAACUCCACCACCAUCGCCACCACCUCCACCUCCACCAACCUUCCCGUUUCCUCUUCCCCCAUUCCAUUUCCCACCUAUACCGCCUUUCCCUGGUAUCCCCCCUGCCUCUGCCUCUACUUCACCAAAGAAAUCCUCUCCUUAAUUGUGUACUAUAAGUAAUGAUUCUCCACUAAAACCUGUCACAAUCUAGCCACUCUUCUGAUGAUUAUCAAUUACAUAUGUAUAUCUUUUUUGUUCAUUACGAUUAUAAAUUAUAUAUACAGUUAAAUAAUCUACCUAAACAGUGUGGGCUUUCUCUUGGUUGUUUGUAGAGUGAUUGACUGUACCAUUGUCAAUAAGAAGCUCCCGUGAAUGUGACACAAUUAUUGUACUAUAUAAUAAAUCCAAUCCUGGGGUCAUCUGAUUCCAACAGGUUUAUUCUCUUUAGUCUAAAGUUUUUCUAAAUCAGAACUUUUUUUUCCAUUUUACGACUCCAGCUUCUUCUUCUUUUUUUUUCUUUUUUUUUUUUGGAUUUGUUGAGCAAUUACUAUAUUAGUGGAGCCUGAACUACGUAAUAAAUAAGCUAACAGCAAGCACAAAACGAAAAUGAUAAUCACGACAUGCAAUCACUAAAAACAUGGAAUUUUAAUUAGUUAAAUGAAAACAACAAUGAGUCUUUGUCUUAUUAACUUGAAAGACUGAUAGAAAGAAGAUACACGUUGCAGCAUCCUACUCCAACUGUUCUAAGUUUAUAAAUAGAAAGCCUAGCUAAUAUAUGAUUAGCCAUCUGGACACUGGUGUUGAUUUCAUUUAAUAAUGCAAUCAAAAGAAUAUAGUUUUGUCUUGUACCUAUAUACAUUUCCUCCAUUCUCAGCCGAUUGCUCAAUAUUCGGUAAUGGAGACGACAAUUAGGAUGGUGCAGAGGGAGAAGUAGAAAAUUUGGUUUUUUUUUUCUUUCUUUUUGGCUGUUUUUGGCAGUUUGGUGAUAAAAGAAAUGCAUCAGGAACGGCUACUUCCGGUUCUUCGGAUAAGAUGAUGGAUAAGCUCUCUCUGCUGUAGCAGUAAACAAAGAUGGAAUUAUUUUUAACCGUUUUCCUAUGCUUUUAGCAUUUUAAAUCUCCAAUAACGAAGCAUCAUCGACAUUAACCAACAACAUACCACGCACCCGUCAAUAUAAAUCAUUAAAAGGUUCGUGCAAAAUAACCACAUCGGCAUGCACAUGCAUAGGCCCAAACAUUAAGCACAAAAAAGCUUACCCCUGGACUCAAUUUUGUUGUCUCCUGGCUCAUAUAUUUGCAACUUUUCCUGUAAAUAACUGAAUGUACUCUUUGACCUACACAUCAAAAUCUAUUCAUGAGAAACAAAUAAUAAACAUAGUGAUCACUUUCAUGCAUGAAUAGAACAUAUGCAAUAUACAGCCUUGUCUCUCUUUUCAUCAUUUUGAGGUAUAAGGUCUCUCAAAAUCCGAAACCUGCCACAUAAAAAAUAAUGGAUUUCAAAUGUGAGAGCAAUCUAGUUUCUAGUAUUAACAAAAACAAGAGGGAUGGUAUUGGUCAUUCAUAAGUAGGAAAAGUUUACAUGGUUGCUGAAACUUCAAUAUGACAGCAACUUAACGGUAAAUUGAUCUUUUUGAGAGUUUUCUUUAUUCAGAUGCAAUUAUGUUUAGCCUAUUAAUAGUUCGCAUAUCUGUGGAAUAAUGUGUAUAUGUUGAAAAAAAAAGUCAUACUAAUGAUCAAUCAUUAGCAGCAUACUCUACACAUCAGAUUUUAUCAUCCUCCACAGCUUUAUCCUUAUUUUUUGAUUUGGAGAUGGAGAAUUCGAAAGAGGCUUGUUGAGCCAAAAUGCUUUGCUAUUGACAUUUUAGUUAUACUAGGUUUGGUGUUAUGUGAUAAAAAUCCAAUCAACAAAAUACAUAAACCAGAGUUAAAUUUUAAUAUCAAAUAAAUUAUACUUAAAAGAAUAUUUUUUUAUUUAAUAAUUUUGAAAAGUAAAAGAGAAUUUUGAGAAAUGGUAAAACUUUGGGAGAAAUUUGGUAUAAAACUCAUAGAUGACAAAAUUUAGGAGAAAUUAUUUAGAAUCUUAAAUUUGAUCCUCUCAAAUGUUAAGAUUUAUGUCUUUCAAGCAAACUUAAUCUGUACAUAUGAAUGGUGCUAAAUAAGAUUUCAUCACAAGUUCUGUUGCAAAUGUUUUACUUUGUUAAUAAAAUAUUUUUUGUUCAACCAGAUUCAAUAUAAACAGAAAAUAUUUAGUUCAACUCUUGUUACAGGCAACCAUUACAGAACUCCUUAAUAUUGUUGAAUAAAAACCUACUUGUUAACCUAGGGAAGUGGAGUCUCAGGCUUAGAUUAGCCGAAAGAUGGGUAUCCACUACGUAUAUGGUACUUGUUUAUGUAGUAUACCUAUUUUACAACAAAAGCCUCUCACUCUUAAUUAGAAAAUGGAAUAUAACUACACUUACAGAGACAGGGGAGGAACCCCCUACAAUUUAAUGCUUGUUUGAAGAGAUGCUAUAAAAACUACCCAAACGUUACUUUUUGACUAAAAUGUUUAGUUGCAGUAGCUAUGGCAGCUUCAGGGCCACUUGGUUGUGCGGUUUUUGAGAAUGAAUUGGUGCAAAAGGACAGCAGAAAUCUUAAAAAGGAUUCACACGAAAGCUCCUCCUUGUAUUUGCUCAUUUUGGUCUUUGACAAAAACCCCCAAUGGACAGAGAAGAUUUAACUGGUGUGUUUGCUUGCUUGAUUGAUUUGAGACUAGAUGGUUUACUAUGUCAUGUUUGGG
Molecule: long non-coding RNA, 89002 nt
Filed under: Gossypium barbadense (sea-island cotton)
Lineage: Eukaryota; Viridiplantae; Streptophyta; Magnoliopsida; Malvales; Malvaceae
Description: long non-coding RNA (GBAR_LNC010132)
Source: RNAcentral